RNAcentral lists this long non-coding RNA (56957 nucleotides) under Citrus x clementina. RNAcentral's name for it is "Citrus clementina (C. clementina) long non-coding RNA (CCLE_LNC001442)". Lineage: Eukaryota; Viridiplantae; Streptophyta; Magnoliopsida; Sapindales; Rutaceae. The record is from RNAcentral.
UCUAGAACAGGUAAGGUUUCCAUCUACAGCCAUCCAUUGACAGCAGAUACAUUUUCAUUCAGCAGACUCUGUUAGCAUUCAAGAUGCUGGCAGAUUCACUUGAUUCUUAUUAGCUUGUUUAGUGGCAAAGCCUAUAACCUGUAUUUCAAAGCCAAGUUGUGCUAUUGAUUAUGUUAACUUUUUUGUUAACAUAAAAUGAUAUGGAGGAAAUAAUCAGUGUUGGAAAAUUAGGUGAAAAGAUGAUGUCAAAUCUUGAACCUCUUACGAAACUCUAAGUUCUUUACUUGAAGAGGCUACGAAAUUUGAACAGCGUCUACUCGAAGGCCUUGCCAUUCCCUGAUGCAUGCAGAAUUUUUGUAUUUAAAUGCCCAGAGCUUAAGAAGCUGCCACUGGAUCUUGAAGGGGCAGACCAAGGUAAAAAUCUUAUCAAGGGAAAGGAAGAUUGGUGGAAACAACUUAAUGGGAGGAUCAAGUAACUCAGAAUGCAUUGCUUCCAUUUUUUAAAUUGACUGACAAGUGAUUGAACGGGGCAUCAUCAACAUCAUCAACAGGGAUGGAGAGAUACCGGAGCAGAUCAGCAGGGUUUGAAUAUGACCUUUGGCGGUUGCUUUUUUUUUGUGAUUUUUUUUUCAUUUUUUCCUUCCUGUCAUUUUAUCAUUUCUUUCUCUGUUUCUAUUGCGGGUGUUACUGCAUGCUUACUGUUGCUUGACAAAGUUUGCUAGCUUUUUGUUUGCAGUGUUGCUAUACACUCCGAGUCAAGCCUCGAAAAUUUAUUAAACGAAGCCGUUUCGACAGUAACAAUUCUUUUCUUUUCCCUUUGCAUGUCUCUUUCAUCUGCUGUUUCUCUAUCACUUUUCAUUUUUGAUUUCCUUGCUUCUCAGCUGCCCCUAAAUUGUUAUUCUAGCAAUAUACUUUCUCAUCUUUGAAUUUUCAUCCUUGAGUACUCCCACAGCCGUAAUUUCAUCAUCAUAGACUUCACUUGGAAUGCUGUAUUUUUUCGAUUCUUGAGCUACUUCAAUUACAUCUUAGUAUAGGAUCCUCAUCUUCCUUUAUUUCUUCAUCUUAUGAGGUAAUAAAUGGAUUUCACAACUCAUCUACUUUUAAGCAAUUACAUAUUAUACCUUGAAUGAUUCAACUGUUCUGACAGUUAAAGAUUUUAUGCUCAACCUGCAGUGCUACGAACAUUGUCCAUGAAAGAUGAGUUUCAGCAUAUAAAAUGAAAUAUAGAUGUUUAAUCUAAAAUAACCCUUCACUGCCAGAAACCUAGGUCACAAAAUUCACAGAUAAUGAUAAAGAGCUAAAAAAUUUGAAAAACUCUACAGAUCACACAUCAAGCAAGAUAUCAUGUUUUUUUCCCUCAUUCAGUGGUGAUUGAUUCGCUUUUUGAUGAUGGAUAUGGUAUAAAAGUGUUGACCCAAUUUCAAGCAAACACAAAUAGAAACACAAACACAAUCGGGACUAGAGUUGUGGGCGAUUAUCUUAGGUGUACAAGUGAAACGGUGGUGGCUGUCGAUGGUGGUAGUGGGGUGGUUGGGUAUGCGUGAUGGCUAGAUUUUAGGACAAUAAUGAUUGGAGUUGACCUCAAUCAACGAAGGAAAGUGACAACAAUUUUGACAUCAAACGGUGCAUUUUUUAGCUUAGUAAAAUGGAGCCGUUUCGAUUUUGGGGUUUAAUCCGGGGUUUGACUCGGUGCAAGUAUCAUUUUCCUUUUGUUUAUUAAAUUUUUUUAUGGUCACAAAGUAUCACUCGUUCUAUUUGAGAGUCAUGUGAAUCAAUUUUUCAAAUUUUCAAUUUUAAAUUUUGUGGUCAAUGUGAAUUCAAUUUCAUUUGUCUCCUGCAAUUAUGAAAAAAUUAAAUAGUCAUAAUAUGGAAAAAUACACCGGUAAAAACUUUGUAAAAGCUUCGGAGUGAUACGGGGAAUUCACUUACUACUAAGGACAAUUGGUGGCAAGCUAUUCCAUUCAUUUUAUGUCCAUCCAUCUAUUUAGUUAUUGAAGAUAAGUGGUCCAUUUGUAAAUUUCAGAUUGUCUCUCUCUCCCUCUUGAAAUAACAAUAUUUAAUAUAUCUCAUAAAUUAUUAUAAAUUUUAAUUUACUCUCGAUUUAAAAUGGAGCAUGUCGAUAAAUUUUUUUUCUUCUUAAUAAAAUUGACGUAAGUUGUGUUUACAGUAGUUUGAAGUUUGAAAUAUUUUAAAGAUUAUUAUUCUAUAAGGGAGUAAUAUGAAAUGAUAUUUACUUUUCAUGUGUGAAAUGAAAAAGGACGAAGCAAGUGUCCCUGCUUUUAUUUUAUUUCAAGGAGGAGUCAUCUCACAUACUUUAGCUCUUAACAUUACAUUUUUUCUGGUUACAUUUUUUAUUUAUUUAUUUUUUUUUUUUUACACAUGCGUGUGGGUUGCUUUUCUGUAAGCUCCUUAAUAUAUAUUUAAGACAAAUCAUGGAAGAGAUGGGAUUAUAUCAAGAUGAUCAAAGAAUGUUAAAAAAGAAAAAAGAAAAAAAAAAGAAGUAAGACACUGAAAAUGGAGAAGAGAUGGAAGCAAAAGAUAUUCCAAAACAAAGCAAUCUAUCCCCUUUCGAGGGCAGACUUAUCAGGUUUAAAAAAGUACACGCUUUGGAUUGGUAGUUGCAAUCAAGGGAAAAUAAAUAGGAUCCAAUGAAAUUUAAAUCUCGGAGAAAAUAAAUAAUCAUGCAGAUUUUCAAGAUUUUAAUAAGGGAUACUAAUAUCUUAUUUUGAUUAAUAAUAUCCUUUCAUUGUGUUAACUCAAAAAAUAUAUAUUUUAAUGUUUUGCAAUAAACAGAAACGUACUAUUAAAAUGAAUAUAUAAAGAAUUUAGAAAAUUUUGAAUGUUAUAUAAAAUAAUUUUAAGAUAAUGCGUGAGAUAUAUUUUAUUAAUUUAAAAUGUUAUUUUACCUAAAAAAUAUGAUAAAUUAAUAAUUACAUAUUUGAAGUUAUUUUAAAUAUUAAAAAAAUUUAAUAUUAUUAAUCUUUUAGAUAGAUUAAAUUAUUUUUUAUAAGAGAUAGAUUAAAUUAUUUUAAAAUACGUUAAUUGUUUUUACUUUUAACGUUACCGGCCUUUCUUUUAUUUUAUUGCAAAUUAAUGCUAACAAGAAAAAGCUAGAUCAUAUUCCACAAAAGCAAAAGUGACAAACACAACCAGCUGGAAUCUUUUAAUUACUAUUCAAUAAUUCGAGACGAUUAGGGUCUUUUAUUAAACUACAAAUUGUAUAGUCUUUUUAAAAUUGUUAUAAAUUGGUGGCACCUACAAUCCUCAAUAAUUGUACCGAUAUUCACAAGUUGGUGGCCCCUACAAUUCUGUUCGGAUAAUUUAACUGUGCAAGUGCUCAUUCACAAUAAUUGUUUUGUUUUUUUUUUCUGCAUUCCCUUUCAUGCUCUUAAUAAUUGAAGAGCAUACUUUUCAUUUUCAAAUGUGGAGCCGCAGCUAAUGUCGCUAAUUUAAUUUGGGAUUAAAUUAGGGGACCAUUAUAUUGCAGUGUGCACUAAUUUUUGUGUUUAUCUAAACUCCUUAAAUUUAAGACAUAUUAUGGCAUAAAUAAGAAUAUAACAAUAGCAAAAGAGUUAAAAAGUGUAGAGAAGAUCUUGCAGAAAUAUAAAUAAUAUCUAUUUUAAAAUAAUAUCAAUAUUUAAAAUAAUUUUUAAUAUUUUAUGAUUCAUUAGAUAUAUUUUAUUAUAUUAAAGUAAAUUUUAUAAUAAAUAAAAACAUACUAUUAAAAUGAAUAUAUAGAAAAUUUAGAGUAUUUUAAGUAUUAUAUAAAAUAAUUUUAAUAAAAUAUGUGAGAUAUUCAUAUUUUAUUAAUUUAAAAUACCAUUUAACCUAAAGAUUUAUUUAUGAUAAAUUAAUAAUUAUAUUUUUGAAGUUACUUCAAAUAUUAAAAAUAUUAAUAUUACUAAUCUAUUAGAUAGAUUAAAUUAUAUAUAUUAUUUUCUAUUUAUUAAAAAAUUUAAAAUUAUUUUUAAUUACUAUUCAAAAAAUAUAAUGAUAAAAAAGAAUCUUAACAUCUUUAUUAAAAAUUUAAAAAUUUACAUGAUCAAUUCUCUAAAUAUUUAGGGUUAUAUGUGAACAACGGUGGAGAAGCUUUAUUUAAUAUUAUUGAUUUAAAUAAUAUGUCAAUUAAAAAUGUACAGAGAAGGAAAUUUCGGUGGGUAUUUUAGUCUUUUCAGCAAUUAUCAUGAUCAGAUCAGCCUUUAGCCUUGAAUCGUCGGUCAGAAAAGUUUUAAAAUUAACGCUAACAAGAAAAAGCUAGGUCAUAUUCCACAAAAGCAAAACUGACAAAACAACCAGCUGGUUUCUUUUACUAAACUACAAAUUAAAAGUGGAUUCUUUUGAAUGCAAGUGGGACAGACGAUUAGGCUCUUUUUAUUAAAGGCAAGUAAAAACUAGUCGAAUAGUCUUUUUCAAAUUGUUGUUUUAUUAUUUUUCCUUCAAAAGUUAGUGUGGCUCAUGUUUGCAGGUGCGAAUGUGGGUCCCGAAUCAUUACUAAAAUUUCUAUUCCACAGCCCACCGCAGCUUCAGUUAAUCAAACUCAAAUCAAUUUUCUUUCUUAACAAAAUAUUCCAAAGAUGUGUAGCAUUUUUCAGAUCACAUGCGAUGGUGCUCUUUUCAAUCGUUGCUUGGAUUGCUUUCUUGGAAAAGCAGCAUACAUACGUAACCUCCAAGAUAAUGUUGAUACCUUGGGCACUGAAUUGGGAAAUCUGAUCGCUAGAAAGAACGAUCUGAUGAGGAGGGUUGUCGAUGCUGAACGGCAACAAAUGAGAAGGCUGGACGGAGUGCAAGUGUGGGUUUCGAGGGUGGAUUCUGUUAAAACUGAAGCUGAUCAAUUUAUAAGAGACGGCUCUCGAGAAAUUGAAAAAUUAUGUGUUGGAGGCUACUGUUCCAAGAAUUGCAUGUCAAGCUACAAGUUCGGGAAAAAAGUGGCUAAAAAGCUACGGGAUGUGCGGACUUUAAUCAGUGAAGGAGUUUUUGAGGUGGUGGCUGACAGAGCUCCAGAGUCUGUAGCAGAUGAAAGACCUACUGAGCGAACAGUAGUAGGCUUGCAAUCACAACUUGAACAAGUCUGGAGAUGUCUUGUAGAAGAAUCAGCGGGAAUCAUUGGCCUAUAUGGUAUGGGCGGUGUUGGUAAAACUACACUACUGACCCAUAUCAACAAUAAAUUUCUCGAGAGUCCAACCAACUUUGAUUGUGCGAUUUGGGUUGUAGUUUCAAAAGACCUGCGACUCGAAAAAAUUCAAGAAGAUAUUGGGAAAAAGAUAGGUUUGGUUGGUGAUUCAUGGAAGAGUAAAAGUGUAGAGGAGAAAGCUGUCGACAUCUUCCGGAGUUUAAGAGAGAAGAGAUUUGUAUUGUUGUUAGAUGAUAUAUGGGAGCGGGUUGAUUUAACAAAGGUGGGCAUUCCACUUCCCGGACCAAAAAAUACUACCUCAAAAGUCGUAUUCACAACCCGUUUCAUCGAUGUUUGUGGUAGCAUGGAAGUUGACAGGAAGUUUCAAGUAGCAUGCUUAUCAGAAAAGGAUGCUUGGGAACUGUUUCGAGAAAAAGUUGGGGAGGAAACUCUUCAGAGUCAUCAUGAUAUCGAUGAGCUAGCCCAAAUUGUGGUCAAAGAGUGUGGUGGUUUGCCACUCGCACUUAUUACUAUUGGUCGAGCUAUGGCCUACAGAAAGAAAGCGGAGCAGUGGAGACGUGCAAUUGAAGAGUUAAGGAGAUCAGCUUCAGAGUUUGCAGGUUUGGGAAAAGAGGUUUAUCCUCUUUUAAAAUUCAGCUAUGAUAGUUUGCAGAAUGAUACGGUUAGAUCUUGUUUCUUGUACUGUUGUUUAUAUCCUGAAGAUUAUGGCAUUCUUAAAUGGGACUUGAUUGAUUGUUGGUUUGGCGAGGGAUUUUUUGGGGAAUCUGACAGGUCUGGUGCAGAAAACCAAGGAUAUGACAUUUUGGACACUCUUGUUCGUGCGUGUUUAUUAGAAGAGGUGGAAGAUGAUGAAGUAAAAAUGCAUGACGUUAUUCGUGAUAUGGCUAUAUGGAUAACUUGUGAAAUUGAGAAGGAGAAGAGAAACUUUUUGGUUCGUGCAGGUGCUGGAUUAAAAGAUGCACCGGGUGUUAAAGGAUGGGAAAAUGUGAGAAGAUUGUCAUUGAUGCAAAACCAAAUUGAAACUCUGGCAGAGGUUCCCACAUGCCCUCAUCUCCAUACUCUAUUUCUUGACUUUAAUAGGGGGUUGGAUAUGAUCGCGGAUGGCUUCUUUCAAUUUAUGCCUUCUCUCAAAGUUUUGAAGAUGUCAAACUGUUCGAAUUUGAAAUUACCUGUUGGGAUGUCAGAGUUGGGUUCAUCACUAGAACUUCUUGAUAUUUCAGAAAACAGCACAAGAGAGUUACCGGAAGAGUUAAAGAAGUUGGUAAAUCUGAAAUGUUUGAAUUUGAGGUGGACAGAGCAUUUAAAUAAAAUUCCACGGCAACUAAUAUCAAAUUCUUCAAGGUUACGUGUGUUGAGAAUGUUCGCUACUGGCCGGUUCAAUUUUCAUGAAGCACCAGAAGACAGCGUUUUAUUUGGUGGGGGUGAAGUUUUGAUACAGGAAUUGCUCGGUUUGAAAUAUUUAGAGGUAUUGGAGUUGACCUUGGGAAGUUAUCAUGCUCUCCAAAUUCUUUUGAGCUCAAAUAAGUUAAAAAGUUGUAUUCGAUCUCUUUACCUCGAGUUGACCGGAGAUACAACGUCAAUUAUUGAUGCUACGGCUUUCGCAGAUCUAAACCACCUCAAUGAAUUACGGAUUGAUAAUGGUAUUGAGUUGGAAGAGUUGAAGAUUGAUUAUACGGAGAUAGUACGAAAAAGGCGGGAACCUUUUGUUUUCCGCAGCCUUCAACGUGUUACCAUAGCGGAGUGCCAUAAAUUGAAAGAUGUGACAUUCCUCGUUUUUGCUCCAAACCUCAAGUCUCUUCGGCUAUUCUAUUGCGGUGCUAUGGAAGAAAUAAUCAGCGUCGGAAAAUUUGCUGAGACUCCUGAGAUGAUGGGACAUAUAAGCCCUUUUGAAAAUCUCCAAAUGCUUGAUUUACAAGGUUUGCCACAUUUGAAGAGCAUCUUCUGGAAGCCAUUGCCUUUCACUCAUCUGAAAGAAAUGGAGGUACUUAGGUGCGAUCGGCUUGAAAAGCUUCCACUCGAUUCCAACAGUGCAAAGGAGCGCAAAUUUGUUAUUCGUGGAGAAGAAGACUGGUGGAACCGACUUCAAUGGGAGGAUGAAGCCACUCAAAUUGCUUUUCGUUCCUGUUUUAAAAGUGAUGCUUUAUUUAUAUCUUAUUCGUGAAAAGUGAUUUAAUUUCCUGCCAAAAGACGAACGAGAAGAACAAUAGAGUCAAACUAAUGCUCACAUAAAUUUCCCGUAAGAAUAUAUAAUUAGAUUGGAAUGCACACCUCUAGAUUGAACAGAAUUAAAGCUGAGAAAAUAUUGAGUAUAGUAGCCCUCUUUACAGAAAAUGACGUGAAAGUUAAUUUAGAAAGAUAUAUUCUUGAUUAAUCCAUUUUCUGAAGUUUUUAUUUUGUAUGGUCAAUUAUACCUUCAUACUAAAAAUUUCUGAAGUUAUAAAUUAGUGCAACUUGACAAUUUUUACUGAUGAUAUCUUCUAUUUUUCCCUUUUUUUUUUUUUCACUUUCAUAGACUGGCAGCGGAUCCUGCGGCACCAAUUUGAGAGAAUAUACUGACACUACUUCGAACAGCAAGCAGAAGAAGUAAUAUGUCUACGGCAAAGGCAAUGGAGUCCUCAUUUUGGCUCGAGAUGCAGUAAUCAUCGAAGAGAGUUUCCUUGUGAAACUGGGCAACACAUUGAAUCCCUUCACCACUGAGAAGGUUGUGGAGGAAGUAAGCUUUCUCUCCAGUGAGGAAGAGGUGGCAUAUACCUUCCCCAUUUUGUUGAGGGCAGGUAGGAAUCUUUUUUCUAAGAGAUUUACUUCGUUCUCUGUAAGAAAUGCUUUGAACUUCAUCCCUCUGUCUCUAUCCUCACUUAUCAGGAAAUAAGUUGAAAGCACUAUGAAGAGAGAGAGAGAGAGAGAGAGAGAGAGAGAGAGAGAGAAUUAAGAUAUAUAGACAAGAAAAAUAUUUGACGUUGAUCUUACAAACUAAUACUUCAAGCAGUAUCCUAGAAAGCUAAAAACUGCAAGAUGGCUUGAAAUUUGAAAAGAGCACAUGCUUUUCCUCCUUAACUUGAGAAAAUGUUUAAUAUAGUGCACCUUACAGAAGCAUUUAAGCAAUUAGAACUUUGCACAAAAACAUCAAGAAGACUAAACAAGUCAGAUGCAGUGUAUUUGUCCAAGCACAAAUUGCAUUUUUUCCUCAACUUUAAUAUUUAUUGAUGAGAAUCAAUACAGGUCCCUCAUUUGUUAUAGAAAGCUUUCUUUCUUGUAGUCUCACCAGUUAAUUCAGAGGUCUAUAAUCAUCUUGCAAAGUUAAGGGCAUUUCUUUUGAUCUAAAGUCUUUGCAUCACCACCUCAUCACACGCCAAGCCAAUAUUCCAUUUACCUCUACAACAAAAAGUUUUAAUUAAACAAUCCUAAUGCACGCAGCCAAAUAAAAUGCAGUAAGAAUAUUCAACUUAAAAAUCUGAAAGCCAACUUGGUGAAUUGCCUCCUUAGGUGAAGUUCCAUGCUUUACUAUAGUUGACAGAACUCAGCAAAAGCUUCCAUACAACAGAUUUUGAAAAUGAUGAUGCCAACAGAUACUCAUUCAAUGCAUUGAAACUCCAAAGGUUCAUUGUUCAUAGAAGUUUACAGAGUUUUGGUCAUCAAAUAGCUCAGACCUAAUCCCAAACAAAAAAUGAGUGAAAAUUAGAUCACGAGCAGCUAAUUGUAAAUUCUAACUUAACUCUUCAUCUCCUUUGUAAACAAGAAACAAAAUGGAGACACGCAAAAUGAAUAUGGAGAAAAUUUGAACUCAAAUGAAAUGAGGGCAUGAAAGCAAACAAAUGGCAUGCACCAAAAAACCAAGCCUCAAUCAAAAACUAAUUAACCAUUAAGAAAAAAAUUGGUCAGAGAAUGAACUCCAAAUUCAGGAGUCAAGCAAGAAGCUUUCAUUAUUAUCAAAGUCAAUUAUCUUUGUUAGUAUGCGAGUGUGACGACUAUAGGUUGUUCUUUUUCUAAUGUCAUAUGAUUCCAAUUUUAGGUACAGGGCAUCUCUCUCUCUCUCUCUCAUCGCUAAGUGGAUAUUUUUCUCUUUUGUCAUAUACUUUAGUUAUUCUUCAAUUUACUAACUAAAAUGAAGGCCGCUUUAUUAAGAAGUUAUAUCCAGUUAUAUAAUUUGUUGUAUUUAAUAUAUGUUUGGGCUCAUAAUUUUUUUUAAAAAUAUAUAUUUCAUUCUCCAUAAUUUUUUCCCAUCAUAGCUACGAAACGUCUUAGUUUCGACUAAAAUCCUAAAAUUGGUCCUUAAUUGAAUAUGCAUUGCAAUUUGCAAAUGUAAUAUUGUGAAUGGGACACUGGAGAUACCAAAAUGGUCAAAUGCGAAAUAAGUUAGGAUUGUACGAUGUAGUUUGUAUUCAUAUUCAAUGCCUUUUUUUUCAAAAAACAAAUUGAAAUGCCAUUACUAAACGAUUCUUGAUGAUGGGAGCCACCGUGCCAGCUUUGUCGCUGAUUUGGUAUUAUUCUUAACUUGCAGAUAGUUGUGGAUAUGAUAUGCAAAAAGGUAAGGACUAUAUCUUCUUGAUGGAGGCCUCUGAUUUUUUCCCUUCUAUGUAAUUUAGUAAAUCGCAUUUUCCCUUGUGAUUGAUAUAUCAUACCAAAGUCAAGUCUUAAAUACUGCUGUCAUAUGUUAAGGUUCAACUUCCAUUUUGAUUAACGUCCAUUUGCUGCUGCUUCCAAAAGUGAGAAUGAGAUACUUUGGUUAAUUUCAGUAGUUGAACCCAAUAGAGUACUUUAUUUAGAUCUUCAUGGUUCAAAGGCCUGAAAAAACUUGCCGGUAUUUGCAAAAUGACAUUCUGUGCUUUUAUUUAGGCUUAUUAUUUAAGUGAUAAAAACUCCCGUAACCUGCUGUCAAGAAAAUUUCAGAUUGUUAAAAGACAACAUUUUGUUUCAGCCAAAAAUGUUUGUUUCGAUUAAAGACUUGAACCAUUUUCAUUUAACCUUGAUUGUGAUGCUUUACAUUAUGCAUGUUCCUCUCAAUCAAUAAAAGUUGAGGUCAUGAUUUUAUAUUUCUAUUUUGUAACUUGAAAUAAUUGGUCUGCCUGUUUCUGUAGCUUGAUAACAUGAAUUUUUCCUUCUGAAGUUAAUUUGAUCAAUAAAGUAAUUCUUCGGAGAUGAUAUGCCCAUUCUAUAGUCAUUUUCUUAGGUAACAUGUUUUUUCUUCACUCUUCAGAGCAUGUCUAAACUAAUUGAUCGCUCAGCGGAGACUUUGGGUGAGAAGACAAAAUUUCUUGGUAAAUCCUCUAAAAAGGUAUGCAUAAUUCCCGAGUAUUAAAUAAUCAUUGGUCAUAAUUUUUGUACACAACUCUUUUUUUGGAGAUCGUUAAAAGUGGUUGAUGAUCUAUUUUGUAAUAUCAUAGAGGGAUCAUGAAUUCCUGUUCUUUUCUGUGGCUAGGCAACACUUUCGGGCCAAGCUAAGGAAAUCUAUUUUAGGUAAUGUGAAAACCAGUUGUAGGAUGUAAUAGUUUAUUAUGCCCUGACAAUAACUUUUUGUAUAAUUGUCAGUUUAAUGAAUACAAGAGGAACUCUGUUGGCAAAUUCAUCCAUGAUAGAUGCUAAAAGUAUUUAUGCAUACCAGUUGCCUUAACUAAUUUUUCUCAACACUGGUAUUGAACAGGAAAAUGAAUAUGCAAUUUGUAUAUUGUGCCAUUGUGGAGAAUUUGGAUAUUCUUAUUUAAGUAACAAGGAGAGUAUUUGCCUCAUCUUUAAACAAUGAAUCUUUGAGAAAUGAGGAGUGGGUGAUUGGCAGUGUCUUCAUGUAAAUGUUCAUUUAUUUGUAUUUUGAACUAUUAUGAGAAUCUUUGUAUGCCAAAUUAGUAAUACAAAUGUUCAGAUGAUUUUUCCUGUUGAUCAUGCGUGUGUAUCUGCACACAACCAUUGUGUCCCACUUUAUUCUGAUGCACAAAUAUCUGUAGUUUAGAAGAAAAGAAAUAAUAAUCAUAUAUUAUUGCUUGGUUCAUGAUUAUUAAACGAUUAUGGCUUUAGAAAAUCCACAAAUCCUUUGUGUUCAUAUAUGAAUGUGCGAAGUUUGCUAUCUCUUAGAUUACCUUCUUCCAAGAUAACAAGUUCAUAUAUUUUUUUUAAUCCUUUUUCAUCACAGUUGAAUUUCAAGUGUAAGUUUUGUUAUUAAUAGCUGGUUUCCUGUUAUUAUGAUUUCAUAAACAGUGAGAGGAUAUGUGCUCUACUUUUGGAGGGCCUCCACAUGAAAGAAAAUUGCAACAAUUGAAUUCUUCCGGAGGGUAUGGUAUUUAAUUUAUUUUCUCAGCUUGUUGUAAGACUAAUAUAUUUCCUUCAGUACCCAAAAGGACAGAAAUGAAUUACGGAAGGAAGUUUUUGCUGCUUUAUUUAGUGCUGCUGAGAAAUCUGAUGGAUUUCCUGAAAUUACGGUGAAGACGGAGUGGAGGUCCAACGCAUUAGGAAAGGUGGUGAGUGAACCGCCGGAGGAAUUAGUACCAGAAUACAAGGCUAAUGUGGUGCACUUGCAGCAAGAUGACCAGACCUGUAUGUGCUCUUAUAUUAACUAUAUUGGUUGGAUUUGUGAGUGUGUACAUUUUUGUGUGUAUACUCACAUUUGUAUUUAUGCAUAUUAACGUGUGUAGGAUUCUUGAUUUCUGCCACUUACUGGAGAACUAGUGGAAAGCUUUAUACUGAUAUAUGUGCUAUAACUAAUGGAAACUACAAUAUGAAUAUUUUCUCUCACCUGGAGAACUGUGUAACAGAUAUAAUUUGUGGCUCUGGAAUACUGAAGAUUCUGCAAUAACUAAUGGAAAAUAUGAUAUGAAUAUUUUUUCUCACCUGGAGAACUUUGUAACAGAUACAUUUUGUGGCUCUGGAAUGUCUAAAGAAUGCUUCAGUUUAGAUCAAAUAUCUUUUAGUUAGAAAAGAUAAAAUUCUCUGAAUCUGAAAGACUGAAACAUUUUGCAUAUUUUGUGAAAGGGAAGUAUCUGUAGAUACUAGCUCAUGCAUUGAGGUAAUAUCAAUGUUAAAGAAAAACAGCAAUAAUUUAUUAUACAGAAUUAGGUUCACUUGCUUUAAAUGCUGGUCUGAUCAACCAUAACAACCUGUAAUGGUCCUGCAGAAAUAUAUAUACGGGGAGAAACUAGCUAAAUUUUCCUUUCACUUAUGGGUUUGGUCUUUUUUUCCCCUAUUUUUCAGCUUUCCUUCUCCUGAAGUAUGUUAACAAUUGCAGAUAAUGACGAAGAGGACCGCUUCCAGGCUCUUUGUAGAGCUGUGAUGGAAUAUAGGGGCACAAUGAAAGAAUAUUGUAAGGUUGUAUGUACUUUCUCUCUUGUCAUUUAUGUUUUCUCACACAUUUUGUUUAUGCCCUGAACAUGCAGCUUUGUAUGUGUCAAUUGCCUUUUACGUUUUAAAAGCCAUAAAGUAAGAAUACAGUUCCUUGUCAGGCUAUUGAUGCGUUCGCUCAGAAGGGUCAUGUUCAAGCAGGAAAACUUCUAGAACAGGUAAGGUUUCCAUCUACAGCCAUCCAUUGACAGCAGAUAUAUUUUCAUUAAGCAGACACUGUUAGCAUUCAAGAUGCUGGCAGAUUCACUUGAUUCUUAUUAGUUUGUUUAGUGGCAAGGCAUAUAACCUGUAUUUCAAAGCCAAGUUGUGCUAUUGAUUAUGUUAACUUUAUUGUUAACAUAAAGUGAUAUGGAGGACAUAAUCAAUGUAGGAAAAUUAGGUGAAGAGAUGAUGUCAAAUCUUGAACCUCUUACAAAGCUCCAAGUUCUUUACUUGAAGAAGCUGCCAAAUUUGAAGAGCGUCUACUGGAAGGCAUUUCCAUUCCCAGAUGUAUGCAGAAUUUUUGUAUUAAUGCCCAGUUCUUAAGAACCUGCCACUGGAUUUUCAAGGGGUGGGCCAAGGUAAAAUUCUUAUCAAGGGAAAGGAAGAUUGGUGGAAAGAACUUCAAUGGGAGGAUCAAGCAACUCAGAAUGCAUUGCUUCCAUUUUUCAAAUCAACUGACAAGUGAUUGAAGGGGGCAUCAUCAACAUCAUCAACAGAGAUGGAGAGAUUCUGGAGCAGAUCAGCAGGGUUUGUAUAUGAUCUUUGGUGGUUGCUUUCUUUUGUGAUUUUUUUUUUCUUCCUGUCAUUUUAUCAUUUCUUUGUCUCUUUUUUUAUUGCUGAUGUUAGUGUAUGCUUACUGUUGCUUGACAAAGUUCGCUUGCUUCUUGUUUAUUAAAUUUUUUAUCGUCACAAAAUAUUACUUGUUCUAUUUGAGAGUGAUGUGAAUCAAUUUUCAAUUAUAUAUUUUGUGGUCAAUGUGAAUUCAAUUUCAUUUGUCUCCUGCAAUUAUGAGAAAACUGCAGAGUCAUAAUAUGGAAAAGUACACCAGCAAAAACUUUGUAAAAGCUUCGGAGUGAAACAGGGAAUUCACUUACUACUAAGAACAAUUGAUGGCGAGUUAUUCCAUUCAUUUUAUGUCCAUCUAUCUAUUUAAUUAUUAAAGAUAAAUGGUCCAUUUAUAAAUUUCAGAUUGUCUCUCUCUGAAAAUAACAAUAUUUAAAAUAUCUCUUAAAUUAUUAUAAAUUUUAAUACACUCUCGAUUUAAAAUGGAACAUGCUGAUGAAAUUGUUUUCUUCUUAAUAAAAUUGAAAUAAAUUGUGUUUGCAGUAGUUUGAAAUAUUUUAAAGAUUAUUAUUUUAUAAGGGAGUAAUAUGAAAUGAAAUUUACUUUUCAUGCGUGAAAUGUUGAAAAAGGACAAAGCAAGUGUCCCUGCUUUUAUUUUUAUUUUAAAGUGGAGUCAUCUCACAUACUUUAGCUCUAUCAUUACAAUUUUUCAGGUUACAUUUUUAUUAUUUAUUUAUUUUCUUUUUUACACAUGCAUGUGGGUUACUUUUCCGUAAGCUCCUCAAUAUAUAUUGAACCCAGCGAAGAAUGUUAUGGAAGAGCAAAUUAAUGAUAUUUCUGAUAGAGUCUAUUUGAUUAUGUAGCCUGAAUGGAUGUCUUGUUGAAAGAUAUCUCAGUGCAUUAGUUCAUCCUUGUCUGUCAAUGUGUUUUUAAUGGUUUUUCCAAUUGUUUAUUAUUAUAGAUUGAUUGUAAAUUGAUAUGAAAAUUUGAUAUGAAUUUAAUGUUGAAAUGUUUUCUCUUUAGUGGAAUGAAUUUAAAAGUGCAAAAGAUUAUUGCACACAGAGAAAUAAACAUAUAUGCUUUAUAACUUUAGCAAUCGAUUCUUUUACAGCUGGAAACAGAGAUGAUGAUUAUCAUAAGGAUGAAGAAAAGUAGUGCGUUAGACGAUUAGACUCUCUUAUUAAAGGCAAGUAUAAAGUAGUGAAGAAUCCAAUAUCUCUAUUGUCUAGUCUUUUGUUUAAUUCUUCUUUUAUUAUUUUUCAGAAUAAUUUUUGGUGAUUACAAUCGGGUUAUUAUUCAGAGUUAUUGUUAUCUUCUGGGGCAGUUUCUGUUCAUCGAAUUCAUUAAUUAAAAUUUUAGAACUCUUAUCAGAAGAAUAUUUUUCGGUUAUCUUUUUUAUGUUCUAAUUCCAAUUGUAAGAAGUAGCCAUUUUAGAAUUUGGGUCUUGAAUCGAAUUUCAAUGCAUGAAUUAAUAUUAAAAAAAAAAAAUUCACUACUCGCAGUUUAGGUUACAAAUUACUUUUUGGAAAGUUGACUUUGGAAUGUUUGCAAAGAAAGAGACUAACAUAUUUCCAAUUACACUAAAUCUCUAUUAUGAUAAUGUUAAGACUAAAUUAAUUUAAAUAAUUUUUAUUUGAAAAUUAUAUCAAACGCAGUCUAAUUUUAUUAAUUUUAAGAAAUAAUAAUUAUAAAAAUUAUUGUUCUGACUUAAUUAAUACAAGUGAUAUAAAAGUUAAGUGUGCACUAAAUCUGUUUUAAUUUUUUCCAGUAUAACUAACAGAGGUCAUUACUAGAAUUAUAUUACUAGUCUAUUAGAUAGAAAAAAUUACUUAUAUUGUUUUAUAUUUAUUAAAAAAUUUAAAGCCAAUUUUUUUAAUUACUAUUUAAAGAAUAUUAUAAUUUGAAAAAUUUUAAUAUCUUUAUUAAAAAUUUAGAAAUUUACAGUCCUCUAAAUAUUUAAGGCGUAACUGUCAUUUUCUCAAGAAGCUUUAUUUAAUAUUAUUGAUUUAAAUAAUAUCUUAUUAAAAAUGUACUGAGGAGAAAUUUUGGUGGGUAUUUUAGUCUUUUCAGCAAUCAUCAUGAUUAACCUUUGGUUGGCCUUGAAACGUCGGUCAGAAAAGUUUUAAAAUGCUUAAUUGUUUUUCACUGUUAACGUUAGUGGCCUUGAAAUUGCUUAUAUUUUAUUAAAAAUUAAUGCUAACAAGAAAAAACUAGAUCGUAUUCCACCCCCAAAGCAAAAGUGAUAAAACAACCGGCUGUAUUCUUUUAUUAAACUACAAAUUAAAAUGGAUUUCUUUAAUUAAAGUGGAUAUCAUUUAAUUAAUGUUUGAACAUUAAAGUUCUGAUAUAUAACCACUAUGCCGACCACCUAAUUGCUGCUAUUUAAUUUCGUUCCAGUUCUCUCUCUCUCUCUUUUUCUUUUUUUUUUGGGCCAAGCAAUAAAUAGUAAAAAUUCAAUAAAAGCAAUAUUAAUGCUGCAAGUGAGUCAUGUUAUUUAUUGUCAAUUAGGAAAUGUGAACCUAAUUUGAUUGCAUCCCUUUAAUCAUUUAAUAAUUAUGUAAGCACCAUCCCUUUAAUUAUUUAAUAACUAGAAAAUAGAACACUGCGUUUCACGCGGCUUUGAAAAAAGAAUUUAGUAUUAUCUUUUUUUCUUACUUUACACUUGAUGAAACUGAUAAAAAAUAUGAAUUGAUUUUUUUUAAAGAUGAGGCAGCCUUAUAAAAAAUAAAAAAAGCUAUUAGCCAGCAAUACAAAUAAAGAAGGAAUGCAAGAUAAAGAAUAAAAUGAGAGAAUAUAUUAUAGAGUGAUCUUAUUCAUUCUAAUUGUGUGUGUACAAAACAAAAAGAUGAGCUCUCCUUUUAUAACUACAUAAUUACUUCAUGAAAUUAAUGAAAAAUUAUGAAUCAUAAUUUCUUGUGAGAUAGUGGGAGUUAUUGGGAAGCUAAAAGUUGCUAAUGGGAGAUAGUGGGGAGACUAAGAGAUAUAUAUUAUGAACAUCUACAUUUAUUUUAAUAAAUUCAUAACACUCCCCCUUAAAUGUUCAUUACAAAGAAUAUGCCUCAUUAAAAUCUUUACAUAAUUGUUAUUGUGUAAUAACAAUCAAAUUAAUUAUAAGAAGAUGAAAAGCCAAAUCUAACAGAAAAUUUCUCUAUUUAUUAGAUAAUAGAGAAUAUAGCAAGAUGAGAAAUGGUAAUGCCACAUCAUCUCCUCACGUCCCAACUUUAUAUAUAUAUAUAUAGAUAAUAUAUAUUAUUCCUGUCCUACAUUCACAUAUUUAAUUGUCCUUUUGAAAAUAUUCAUGAGUUAGGCCAAGUAAAGUCAAAGAAAUUGGGAAAAAGGAACAAAAGGACAAACCUAAAUUAAUUGAACCUAAUUCAUGAAAAUGCACACUUUUGUGUUGCGGACGGCGGACCCUAAAGCUUCGUUGUUUGCAGCUGCAAUUAAUUCUUUUCCUUCAAAAGUUAGAGGCUCGUGUUUACAGUGGGUCCCGAAUCGGACGUACCUAAUAAAUCUUUUAAAAAAAUUUGCCGUAUAAAGGACAGAGGUCAUUACUGAAAUUUCUCUUCCACGGGCAAUUACAGCAGCUUCAGUUAAUCAAACUCAAAUCAAUUUUCUUUCUUAACAAAAUAUUCCAAAGAUGUGUAGCAUUUUUCAGAUCACAUGCGAUGGUGCUUUUUUCAAUCGUUGCUUGGAUUGCUUUCUUGGAAAAGCAGCAUACAUACGUAACCUCCAAGAUAAUCUUGUAGCCUUGGACACUGAAUUGGGAAAUCUGAUCGCUAAAAAGAACGAUGUGAUGAGGAGGGUUGUCGAUGCUGAACGGCAACAAAUGAGAAGGCUGGACGGAGUGCAAGUGUGGGUUUCGAGGCUCGAUGCUGUUAAAACUGAAGCCGAUGAACUUAUCACAGACGGCUCUCGAGAAAUUGAAAAAUUAUGUGUUGGAGGCUACUGUUCCAAGAACUGCAGGUCAAGCUACAAAUUCGGAAAACAAGUGGCAAGAAAGCUACGAGAUGUGGAGACUUUAAUCGCCGAGGGAGUUUUUGAGUCGGUGGCUGAGAGAGCUCCGGAACCUGUGGCAGAUAAAAGACCCACUGAGCCAACAAUAGUAGGCUUGCAAUCACAGCUUGAACAAGUUUGGAGAUGUCUUCUUGUAGAAGAAUCAGCGGGAAUCAUUGGCCUAUAUGGUAUGGGCGGUGUUGGUAAAACCACACUGUUGACCCAUAUCAACAAUAAAUUUCUUGAGAGUCCCACCAACUUUGAUUGUGUGAUUUGGGUCGUAGUUUCAAAAGACCUGCGACUUGAAAAAAUUCAAGAAGAUAUUGGGAAGAAGAUAGGUCUGUUUGAUGGUUCGUGGAAGAAUAAAAGUGUUGAGGAGAAAGCCGUAGACAUCUUGCGGAGAUUAGGAGAGAAGAGGUUUGUAUUGUUGUUAGAUGAUUUAUGGGAGCGGGUUGAUUUAACAGAAGUGGGCGUUCCACUUCCCAGCCCACAAAAAUACUACAUCAAAGUCGUAUUCACGACCCGUUUCAUUGAUGUGUGUGGUAGCAUGGAAAGUCACAGGAAGUUUAAAGUGGCAUGCUUAUCAGAAGAGGAUGCUUGGGAGCUGUUUCGAGGAAAAGUAAGGCAAGAAACUCUUGAGAGUCAUCAUGAUAUCGUUGAGCUAGCCCAAACUGUGGCCAGAGAGUGUGGCGGUUUGCCACUCGCGCUUAAAACUAUAGGUCGAUCUAUGGCCUACAGAAAGACAGCUAAGGAGUGGAGACAUGCAAUUGAAAUGUUAAGGAGAUCAGCUUCAGAGUUUGCAGGUUUGGGAGAAAAGGUGUAUCGUCUUUUAAAGUUUAGCUAUGAUAGUUUGCAGAAUGAUACGAUUAGAUCUUGUUUCUUAUAUUGUUGUUUGUAUCCUGAAGAUUAUGGCAUUCUUAAAUGGGAUUUGAUUGAUUGUUGGAUUGGUGAGGGAUUCUUAGAGGAAUCUGACAGGUUUAGUGCAGAAAACCAAGGAUACUACAUUGUGGGCACUCUUGUUCAUGCAUGUUUAUUAGAAGAGGUGGAAGAUGAUAAAGUAAAAAUGCAUGACGUUGUUCGUGAUAUGGCUAUAUGGAUAACCGGUGAAAUUGAGAAGGAGAAGCGAAACUUUUUGGUUUGUGCAGGUGCUGGAUUAAAAGAGGCACCGGAUGUUGAAGUAUGGGAAAAUGUGAGAAGAUUGUCAUUGAUGCAAAACCAAAUUGAAACUCUGUCAGAGGUUCCCACAUGCCCUCAUCUUCUCACUUUAUUUCUUGACUUUAAUAGGGAGUUGAAGACUAUUGCGGAUGGCUUCUUCCGAUGUAUGCCUUCUCUCAAAGUUUUGAAGAUGUCAAACUCUGGAAAGCCUUGGAAAGGUUUGGAAUUAAAUUUGGGGAUGCCAAAGUUGGGUUCACUACAGCUUCUUGAUAUUUCACACACCUGCAUACAAGAUUUACCGCAAGAAUUAAAGUUGUUGGUAAAUCUGAAAUGUUUGAAUUUGAGGCGGACAAUUUGGUUAAAUAAAAUUUCAUGGCAACUAAUAUCAAAUUUUUCAAGGUUACGUGUGUUGAGAAUGUUCGCUACUGGCUGGUUCAAUUUUCAUGAAGCACCAGAAGACAGCGUUUUAUUUGGUGGGGGUGAAGUUUUGAUACAGGAAUUGCUCGGUUUGAAAUAUUUAGAGGUAUUGGAGUUGACCUUGGGAAGUUAUCAUGCUCUCCAAAUUCUUUUCAGCUCAAAUAAGCUAAAAAGUUGUAUUCGAUCUCUUUACCUCCAGUUGACCGGAGAUACAGCGUUAAUUAUUGAUGCUACGGCUUUCGCAGAUCUAAAACACCUCAAUGAAUUACGCAUUGAGUCGGCUACAAAGCUGAAAGAAUUGACGGCUGAUUAUACAGAGAUAGUUCGAAAAAGGCGGGAACCUUUUGUUUUCCGCAGCCUUCACCAUGUUACUAUACAAAGCUGCCAGAAGUUGAAAGAUUCGACAUUCCUCGUUUUUGCUCCAAACCUCAAGUCUCUUUCGAUAGUCAAAUGCAAUGCUAUGGAAGAAAUAAUCAGCGUCGGAAAAUUUGCUGAGACUCCUGAGAUGAUGGGACAUAUAAGUCCUUUUGAAAAUCUCCAAAUGAUUGAUUUACUAGGUUUGCCACAUUUGAAGAGCAUCUUCUGGAAGCCAUUGCCUUUCACUCAUCUGAAAGAAAUAUCUGUGCGUUAUUGCCCUAAUCUUAAAAAGCUUCCACUCGAUUCCAACAGUGCAAAGGAGCGUAAAUUUGUUAUUCGUGGAGAAGAAGACUGGUGGAACCCACUUCAAUGGGAGGAUGAAGCCACUCAAAUUGCUUUUCGUUCCUGUUUCCAACCCUUGUUCCUGAACAGUGGUCGCAAAAUUUGAUUUCUGGUGAGUGCGUUUGUCUUUUAAAAAGAAUAAUUUAAAAGAAAUUUAUUCUUGUCGGUUUCUUCACUGUUUUUAUUUCAGUUUCUCUCUCUCUCUCUCUCUCUCUCUCUUUUUGUCUUCUGCAAAUCACAAUUACAUUUUUAUUCUUGUCGUUUUCUUCACUGUUUUUAUUUCAGUUUCUCUCUCUCUCUCUCUCUCUCUUUUUGUCUUCUGCAAAUCACAAUCAAAUGUUGAAUUAAUGGAAUUAAUGCUUCAUAAAUUUGCCGGCACUGCCAUUACUUUUUUUUGGGGGAUCGAAUUGAUACUUUAUUUAUAUCUUCUUAGCGAUUUAAUUUCCUGUCAAAAGACGAACGAGAAGAACAUAUGACUUAAACCAAUGCUCGCAUAAACUUGCUGUAAAAAGAUAUAAUCUCACUGAAAUGCACACGCCUAGAAUGAAUAGAAUUAAAACAGGGAAAAUAUUAAGUAUAUUAGCCCUCUUUACUGAAAAUCAAAUGACAGUAAAUUUUUUGAAGUUUUGAUUUUCUAUGGUCAAUUCCACCUUUUGCAAUUUCUUCUGUUCUAACAAAAACCAAUUUCUUUGUUCAAGUAUUUUCGUUUGGAUAUUAAUAAUUCUCCACCGAAAGAGUGAACUCUUGCUCAAAGGGAUCUCUAAUAAUACAUAACAUGAUUAUUUUCGUUUGAAUAAUUGAUUUCUUGAUUGAAUUGUCGUGUAAUUGAUUUAUGGGGGAUGACACAUCAACAUACUUGAAAAUACACUAAUCUCAGCAUCAUCGGUUAAUAACUUUUAGAUUUAUGGGUAAUCAAUAGUUAAGAUUAGUUGUCAUUAAUACUAAAUAAUUUUUACUUUUUUUGUCUCUUCUAGAGGAUCUUCUAGAAAAAUGCAUCCACAAUUAAAUUUAAUACUUUACAUAAUAAACAAAGCCUAAAUGUUAAAUUUAAGAAACUGCAUUGUAUUUCAGUUGAAGUUGACUUUAAUAUUUAGGGUAGAAAAACAAUUAAUUUUAUUUUUUGAAAUGUCCAUAUUCAGAGCACAUUUCAAAAAGACUCAAUAAUUUCUCAUAAAUUUCAAUUAAAAAUAUUCAAUUUGUUGUUUCAGUUCUUUUAUUUUUUAUUUUUUCCGACAUGAAAGCGACUUAAUGUUACUAAAUUGGGUGGUCUUUGGAUUUUCAUGACCCAAUAAUUGGAACAAAACAAUUUUCUCAAGCGCUCUCCCGCAACAUUUUAUAAUUGAAGCCGCUGCCCCGCCCGUGGUUUCAAACUUUUUUCUUUCUCCUUGUUUAAAUUAAUGGGAGCAGCCUCCGUCCUUGACUAGUUGACUGCUUGUCUUCUUUUUUUUAUUAAUUAAUUAAUUCAGCCGCCCCCCUUUCUUGUCCCAAUAUCUUCUACUUUCGGUUUCCUUUUAUUAUCUCUUUAUUUUUAAAAAAUGCUUAUAAUAAUAAUAAAAUAUAAAAUAUAAAAAUAAAAAUAUAAUUUAUCAGAAAAUUAAGAUAAAGAAAUAUUAUAAGCACAUCAAUCAACAAGUGAAAAAAAAACAAUUUUAAUUUACAUUAAAUAUAAACUUUCAGUGUUAAUCAACUUUUCUAAAUAACUAAAUUAAAAAAUUAAUUGAUUUAAUUGUGGUGUAAUUGAUUUGUAGGGGAUGAAUCAGCAGCAUCAUCGGUUAACGCUUUCAGAUUUAUAGUUAAUCAAUAGUUGAGAGUUGUUAUCACUAACGCCGUGUAUUUUUUAAUGUUUUUUCUCUCUCCUACAGCAUCUUCUAGGAAAGUGCAUCCGUUGCUAAAAUUUAGUAUCGUAAAUAAUAAACCAAGAAUAAAUAUUAAAUCUAAGAAACUGUAUUGCAUUUAAUAUUUAAGGGAGAAAAAUAAUUAUAGUGUCUUUAUUAAUCAGUAAAAAAAAAAAUUAGAAUCAUAAUAAAUUGUAUUGUUAUUGAUGUAUUUAUUUUAUUUUAUACUCAAAAUAAAUUAUUUUAAAUUAUUAAAAUAAUUUAAAAUUAGUAUUUUAUUUUAUACUCAAAAUAAAUAAUUUAAAAUUUUCAUUUCUUGUUUAUUUCGCAAGUUGUUAUUGCCUAAUGCUAUGUCAACUCGAACAUUAGCAUUUUUUUUUUUGGUCCUCUUUUAACGCAAAAUUAGUGUAGGUUAAGUAACAUAAUCAAUAUUAGGACAAUUUGAAAUCCCUAUGGGUGCGUUUGGUACACUGUAUUGUAUUAUACUGUAUUGCAUUAUUUUAAUGCUGAUGUAUUGUAUUAUGUUGUAUUGCAUUAGCACUGUAUUAUAACAAUGCUAUACAAUAUUUGGUGUUACAUUGUACUGUAUUAGAUUUUAAUUAUAUUAUAUUUAGUGUUACAAUUGUUGUAACAUAAACACGACCAAAAUAAAUUGUACUAAAUAAUCUAAGUAAGAGUUCUGUAGUAUAUGUAAUAAUACUAUUUAUAUUAUUAUUAUUAAUAAUUCUAAAUUAAUAUUAUUUAAUUUUAUUCAUAUUUAAAUAUGUAUUAUUAGUUUAUUAAAUUAUUUAAAAUAAUUAAUUUAUAUAUAUUAAUUAUUGUAACUUAAUUAAAUAAUGUAAUGCUAUAUUAUAUUUUUAUAUACUAUUUAAGUAUUUAUUAUUAAUUAUAUUUAAUUAUAAAUUUAUUAAUAAAUUAUAAUAUAAAAAUAAAAAAUAAAAAUUAAUAUUGUAUAAUAUUAUAUUAAAUUAAAGUUUUAUUUUUAUUACUAUUAUUAUAAAGUAAAAAAAAAAAAAAGGGAAGCUACUGACUUUUGAAACACAAAAGUCAGUAAUACAACCUAAUCACGAGGGGGGGCGCGGGUUUUGAUAAUGCGGCAAAAGCUGCAUUGUAAUGCUGCUCAAUGCAAUCCAUUUGAUCACCAAACACAGGUAUAUUUUAACUAAUGCUGGGCCCACAAAAUAAUACAAUGCAAUUCCGCAUGCCAAACAUACCCUAUGGGUGCGUUUGGUACACUGUAUUGUAUUAUACUGUAUUGUAUUAUUUUAAUGCUGGUGUAUUGUAUUAUGCUGUAUUGCGUUAGCAUUGUAUUAUAAUAAUGUUGUACAAUGUUUGGUGUUACACUGUACUGUAUUAAUUUUUAAUUAAACUAUAUUUGGUGUUAUAUUGUAUUGUAUUAAUUUUUAUAAUUAAUUAAAUUAAAUAAUUAAAAAAUAAUAUUUAUUAAUACUUAGAAAAAUAAUAAAUAUAGAAAUCUUAAUUGUAGAAAUUUAACAAAUUUUUUAGUAAAUAUUAAAAAUUAAUGAUUAAAUUUCUAAAAUUUGUAUUAUAAUUAUGAUAAAAUAAAUUUAUAAAAUUUAAUAUUAUAUGUAAAUAAUAAAUUUAGAUUAUAAUUAAUAUUAUAAUUGUUAAUAUAAAUUAAUAAAUUAUUAUUCAAUAAUAUUCAAUUAUAUUUUAAUUUACAAUAUAUUAUUAUUUUUACAUUUUAAUAUAUUAAUAAAUUUAUAAUUUAACAUAAAUAAUUAUAAAUUUAAAUAAUAUUAAUUUUAAAAUUAAUAUUAAUGUAAAUAAUAUUAUAAUAUUAAUAUAUUAUUUUUAUAUGAAUCAUUAAUAAAUAAAAUAAUAUUAUCAUAUAAUUUAUUUUUAUAUUUUAUUCAUUAUAUUAAUAUUUAAUAAUAAAAUAAUUUAUUUUUAUAAUAUUUUAAUAAAAUAAAUUUGCCUCAAUUGAGGCAUUAACUGUUGCCUCAAUUGAGGCAAAAAGCUUCCGCAUCCCUCGGGUUUGCGUAAUGCGGCCCCAUGCCUCAUUAUGCUGCAUUAUAAUGCAGCAUAAUGAGGUGUCAAAUUUUGCCAAACAUGUUCUUGGUAAUAAACUAAUGUGAAUAGUAGUAUAAUACCACAUAAUCUCAUGCACCAAACACGCCCUAUGUGUAUUAUUCACGGUAUCUAUGAGGGCUUAUCCUUUUGCUAGAACAAACUCUAGCAAAUUGUCAAAUGUGCUUAUCCUUUCCCUUGACGACUCAUUUUAAAAUUGUCACUCAUUUUAAAAUUGUCUUUCAAUGCACAAACACAGACAUAACCGCCGACAUCGAGCACCAAGUUUGGAAUUUAAUUGAUAAGCAUACAUUUGAUAAAUUAAUGAAAAGUUUGGAGAGUAGUUUUGAUCACCCUUGAUUAGGACGGUAUUACAAAAAAGAUCAAAAAGAAAACAUCGUCUCUCUUCACAAAAAUAAAUAUUUUCCGUUAGAAUUUAAUACAAUAAUAUUUUUUUUGAUUAAAAUUUAAUUAAAUACACAAAUAAAUUAUAUAUUUUUUAAAAAAAUUUACACCCAGUCACAAGGCUGGCUAUUAAACUUAAAGGGUGGAAGCUUCGGAGACUAAAGUUGGUAACUUCUCCAAGUGGUCUUAAGUUGACCGGAACUACCCAGACUUUAUGUUUGGUAGCCUAGACCUGAUCGGACCUAGGCCCAAGUUUGGUCUUAAAGUCCACAAUUAAAUUAAAAAAAAAUUAUUUGAUUUGUAAUUGAUUUAUGGGGAAUGAAUCCGCAGCCCUAAAAUUACACCAAUCUUGACAUAAUGACAUCAUCGGUUAAAAACGUUCAGAUUUAUGGUUAAUCAAUGGUUUGAGAUUUGUUAUCAUUAAUGCUAGAUAUUUUUUAACAUUUUUUUCUAUCUCUCUUCUCCUGAAGGAUUUUCUAGGAAAAUGCAUCCACAACAAAAAUUUUAAAUUGUAAACAAUAAACAGAGUAUAAACGUUAAAUCUAAGGAACAUCGCUGCAUUUCAGCUGAAGCGAACUUUAAUAUUUUACGGAGAAAAAUAAUUAAGUCUUUAAUGUGAUUUAUUGAUUAAUAUAUAUGACUAAUUUUUUAAAAGAAGAUGAAGGAUGAAGCUUAAAAAUAUAAAUUAUAGAAUUAAUUUAUCUCUUCAAUAAAUCUAAAGUUUAUUUUUUUUAUUACAUGCUUCUAUUUUAUUUUUAUUCCAUGUUAAUGAAUGGAGAUUUAAAUCCAUUUUGGAUUUAUAAAGAUGUUUAGAUAUUUAAAUCCACGUGUGAUUCCAAACUUGAACCUUUUUUUUUUUUUUUUCUAAUUAAUGCAAACAGCCGCCUCUUUGACUGCUUUUCUUCUUUGUUUAUUAAUUAAUUAAUUCAGCUGCCCACCUUUCUUUUCCUAAUGUUUUCUACUCCCAAAUUUUUUUAAGGACAAGGCUACGUUGCAGACGCUGUACCUAACAGCUGCACCUUCGCCAGCUUAAAAAAGGGUGCAUUUGGUAAGCAACUUUUCUUUCGUGUGCAUAUGUGUCCUGCCACCAUUGGGUGUGUACGUAACAGAUAAUGUACCGUAACAAGCUCCUAUUUUUAAAUUUGUUUAUAAUGAUAAAAUAUAAAAAUUAAGAUUAAAAUGUAAUGUAAUGUAAAAUUAAAGGUGGAAGAGUAUUAAAAUAAGGCUAAACCUAUGUUACGUUUAACGUAACAUACAUUUAAAUAUAUAAAAUAUCAAUGGAAACCCUCAAAUUUUAUGGAAACUAUAUUAAUAAAAUUAAAAGAAAUAUUUUUAAAUCUGAAAGAAGAAAUAAAAGAUAUAAAGCAAGAGAUAGGAAAACUAAAAAUAGAAAUAUCUGUAAAAGAAAAAGGAAAAGAAAAAUUAGAAAUAAAAGAAACAACUCCAACUGAAUCGAAUUCAGACUAAUGGAAGAUGUAUUAGAAACUUUAACUGAAAAAUUCAGUGACAUAAAUCUUAGUGAUUUAGAAGACUUUGAAAAAGAAUAUUAGAUAAAAAUGAAUACUGCUGGAGGACCAGAAAUGAAACCUAAUGUAGCAUAACCAAGUCAUAGAUAUGGUAUAAAUAAAAUGAAAAAUAAACCUUUUUACGAGUAUAUACCUCCUAUUAAAAAUACUCCUUGGAAAAAAGAAUACAAACCAAAUCAAGAUACAUUAACCCCAAUAAAUAAUGCUGGAACAUUUUUAAAUCUAGAUUGUAAGAUAGACAUUCGAAAGGCGUUAGCAGAAUGGGUGUUACAAAUGAAAUUAUUUUUUAUAUUUAACGGGUCAAAGGAUGACUAGAAUGUAGAGACUGAAGAAGAAAAAAUAGAUAUAUUUGUUGAAAUCUUAAUAGCCAGUUUUUCAGGAAAUGUGUUUAAUUGGUGGAGAGGAUUAAGCGAUGAUACACAAAACUUAAUAAAAGAUUCAACCAAAUAGCAUUUAGAAAAAAUAAAGCCUUAGGAAUGGAAAGGAUAACUGAAUACAUAGCUAGUGAAUUUUUAGGAGAAGAUUGGCUAGAAAAAUCGGGCAUAUAUGAAAAUUUAAAAAUUUAUGAUAAAAAGAUCUUAGUGUUUUUAUUAAAAAAUUAAAAUUUACAUGACUAUUUCUUUAAAUAUUUAGGGCAUAUAUGAACCACGGAGGAGAAAAGCUUUAUUUAAUAUUUUAGAAUAGUUUUUGAUCAGUACAAUUGGGUCCUUAUUCAGAAUUAUUGUUCUCUUCCGCAACAGUUUUUGUUUAUCAAAGUCGUCAAUUAAAAUUUUAGAAUUCUUAUCAGAAGAAGUAGUCGUUUUAGAAGUUGGGUCUUGGAUCAAAUUUCUACGAGUGCAUGAAUUAACAAUAAAAAAAUUUCAUUACACACGGUUUAAGCUACAAACUACUAUUUGCACAGUUGACUAUAAAACUUACCUCCAAUUACACUAAACCUCUCUAUUUGGUAACGUUGAGACUAAAUUAAUUUUAUUAGCAUGAAAAGAUGAUAGAAAUAUAAUUAUAAAUAUUAUUGUUGUUAAUCAAUUAGUACAUGUGAUAUAAAGGUUAAAUGUGCACUAUAUUUAAUAAUUAAUUAGUGGAGCAUGUUAAACAAAAUGUUAAUGUAUAUUUAUAUAGUGUUAGGAAUAUGCAAAGUCAAGUCCUCAAUUUGCAUUAUCCUGUAUAGAAUAUUACUCUAAAAAUGUUUUACUAUAAUUGGCUUAGAACAUUUGUAAAGAAAAAUAAUAAUAAAAUAAUAAAUAACAUACACCGUCACAUAGCACCUAGACAAUGAUAGAAAAUUAUUAAAGAGAGUGCAAACAAUUAAUUAGAGAUUUUUAUGAUGACUUUUAAUAUUCAUGAUAAUAACAAAUAAAUACAUGUAUCACUUUUUUAAAAUAUUAAAUUUGACUGCUCCAUUAAUAAAUUAUUAUUGUAAUUCAGACUCUAUCUAUAUAUCCUUGCACUAAGAAUAAUUAAGGUAACGUUUGUUUUUUAACUUAAUGACUUAAAGUGACUUAACUUAAUUAAUUAAGUUAAUUAGAGGUGUUUGUUUUAUAACUUAAUGAGACUUUUUAGAUAAUUUUGACUUAAUAAAAUAAGCUAAUUUUUUUUGGCUUUUUACUUAAUGGAGAAAUCUGAAUUAAGUCAAUUACUUGCUAAUGUCAAAAAUAUCCUUGUUUUAUAAUUUAUUUUUCAUGUCUAUCCCAAAACUCGCCCGUAGAUAUUUACCCCACAUAAAAAUAUCCCUGUUUUUUUCUUUCUUAUAUUAUAUACGAUAAAAUUUGAAAUUUAUAGUAUUUUAUAUAUUAAAAUUCUAAAAUAAUUAUGUAUUCACUUGAAUAUAGUUUUACUUAUAAAUGUUAAAAUAUGAUGGUAUUUAAUAUAUUAUUUAUUUGACAUUCAAAUUUAAUAAGGAUACAAAUGUAAAAGUACAUAUUUUCAGCUUUUUAAAUUGAAAAAAAAUAACUUAAUAUUUAUUUUCUGAGAUUCAGACGAAAAAAUAAACAUAUUAUUCAGAUUCAUACAUUCAGAUCUAUUCAGAAUUCAAACUAAUUCAAGUCUAUUCAAAUUUUAGACAAAAAAAUAAACGCCACCUAAGUCAUAAUAAAAAUUUUCGUAACUACAUCUCGUUUCUUCCUCAUAAUAAUAAUUAGAUUGGUUCGAAUAUUAUAACUAUAUAGAUUUAGUGUAUAGCCACAUCCAAUUUAAAUAUUGACCCAAUUGGGAUGGUCCCCAAAAAAAAAGAUUCGUUAAAGGAUAAUUCUAAUUAUUUUUACUUCUCAAACGUUAGUGGGACGUUUCUAUUAGCGCACUCGUAAGCCAAGUUGUCAAAUAUUUAUACUAAACUACAAUUGCUAACAAGAAAAAUCAAGAUCGUGUUAAGCAAGUGGGUCCCGAAUAGGACGUGCAAAUCUCUCGUAAGUCAAGUUGUCAAAUGUUUAUAUAAAACUAACAAUUACUGACAAGAAAAAUCAAGAUCGUAUUAAAAAUGGGUCCCGAAUAGGAUUAUCUUUUUAAGAAUAUUAUUAUUUUAUUAUUAAAAUUUUAUUAAUAUAACAGUAUUAAAAUUUAUUAAAAAAUAUAUUUUAUUAUUAAAAUUUUAUACCGUUAUCAAUUUAUUAUUAUUUUAUUAAAAAAAUUAAUAUUUAACAAAAAUUGAGAUAAAAAUUAAUUUUUGUUCUCUGUCUUUAUUUAUUUAUUUAUUUUUUUGGGUCUUCUGCAAAUCACAAUCAAAUGUUGAAUUAUAAAUUUGCCGGCAUUGCUUUUUUUUUUUUUUUUGGGCCGGGGGGUGGUGUUGAAUUGAUGCUCUGGGUUUUUGACUUUUGUUGUCAAAUUUUACUCUGUUUUUCCCAAAUUGAUGCUANNNNNNNNNNNNNNNNNNNNNNNNNNNNNNNNNNNNNNNNNNNNNNNNNNNNNNNNNNNNNNNNNNNNNNNNNNNNNNNNNNNNNNNNNNNNNNNNNNNNNNNNNNNNNNNNNNNNNNNNNNNNNNNNNNNNNNNNNNNNNNNNNNNNNNNNNNNNNNNNNNNNNNNNNNNNNNNNNNNNNNNNNNNNNNNNNNNNNNNNNNNNNNNNNNNNNNNNNNNNNNNNNNNNNNNNNNNNNNNNNNNNNNNNNNNNNNNNNNNNNNNNNNNNNNNNNNNNNNNNNNNNNNNNNNNNNNNNNNNNNNNNNNNNNNNNNNNNNNNNNNNNNNNNNNNNNNNNNNNNNNNNNNNNNNNNNNNNNNNNNNNNNNNNNNNNNNNNNNNNNNNNNNNNNNNNNNNNNNNNNNNNNNNNNNNNNNNNNNNNNNNNNNNNNNNNNNNNNNNNNNNNNNNNNNNNNNNNNNNNNNNNNNNNNNNNNNNNNNNNNNNNNNNNNNNNNNNNNNNNNNNNNNNNNNNNNNNNNNNNNNNNNNNNNNNNNNNNNNNNNNNNNNNNNNNNNNNNNNNNNNNNNNNNNNNNNNNNNNNNNNNNNNNNNNNNNNNNNNNNNNNNNNNNNNNNNNNNNNNNNNNNNNNNNNNNNNNNNNNNNNNNNNNNNNNNNNNNNNNNNNNNNNNNNNNNNNNNNNNNNNNNNNNNNNNNNNNNNNNNNNNNNNNNNNNNNNNNNNNNNNNNNNNNNNNNNNNNNNNNNNNNNNNNNNNNNNNNNNNNNNNNNNNNNNNNNNNNNNNNNNNNNNNNNNNNNNNNNNNNNNNNNNNNNNNNNNNNNNNNNNNNNNNNNNNNNNNNNNNNNNNNNNNNNNNNNNNNNNNNNNNNNNNNNNNNNNNNNNNNNNNNNNNNNNNNNNNNNNNNNNNNNNNNNNNNNNNNNNNNNNNNNNNNNNNNNNNNNNNNNNNNNNNNNNNNNNNNNNNNNNNNNNNNNNNNNNNNNNNNNNNNNNNNNNNNNNNNNNNNNNNNNNNNNNNNNNNNNNNNNNNNNNNNNNNNNNNNNNNNNNNNNNNNNNNNNNNNNNNNNNNNNNNNNNNNNNNNNNNNNNNNNNNNNNNNNNNNNNNNNNNNNNNNNNNNNNNNNNNNNNNNNNNNNNNNNNNNNNNNNNNNNNNNNNNNNNNNNNNNNNNNNNNNNNNNNNNNNNNNNNNNNNNNNNNNNNNNNNNNNNNNNNNNNNNNNNNNNNNNNNNNNNNNNNNNNNNNNNNNNNNNNNNNNNNNNNNNNNNNNNNNNNNNNNNNNNNNNNNNNNNNNNNNNNGAAGGGUCUCUAAUCAAUAGCUGGAAGCAAUUGAGAAGGCGGUUGCUACAGUGAAUUCAAAUGUAAAAUGUUUGCUAUUCUUCGAUUUGGUUAAUGAUUUCGUAUGAAUAUUGUUGUUCCGUUGAGUUGCAUGCGAAUUCAAAUGCAAAAUAUUCUUCGAUUUUCAAUUUUGAAAUCAAAUUUUUUUUUCCUUCUCAAGCAUGUUAUGCAGAAACGAUUGUCAUGUUAUGCAGAAACGAUUUUUACUAAAUCAUUUUUAACAAACUAUUGAAAUUAAACCACUGGAAUAAGAAUUGUAAGGAUUUAUCGUAAGCUUACUAAUACGAUAAUUCUGAAACUAUCACCUUUUUUUUUUUAUUUGUUGCAGGGAAACCCAAAUUUUGUAUUUUGUCAAUUUCAUCUGAUAUGGAAUUUAUUUCCUCCCUAAAGAUUUAUCAAACUGCUUCUCUUCCCUGCUUCAAUAUCUUUAUGCAAUUACGAUCUCAUAGGAAAAGAGAGUUUGGGUUGUAUAUCUUAUAGUAUUUAUUUAUUUUUUGUUAAAAGAAAUUUAUUUUAAAAUAGUUUAUAGCAACAGUUUUUAUUUAACAAUAAUGAGGAAGGAUUAUUAUAGGUUCAAAUAGUUGUUAGAACAUUAUAAAAAAGUCCAUUUACUAUCAAAUGUUUUAAAUUGGUGCAACGUGAUAAUUGUCUCAUAUAAUUUUUUAAGGGUAAAAACUCGUUUCAUUCCCAUAUUUUAAGAUUAUUACUCAUUUAGUCUUUAUAUUUUUAAAAAUGUUUCAAAACAUUCAUACCCUUAAAUUAUUAACAUCUCUGCUGUUACUUUUUAUUUUUUUUUGACUUGUUUUUACAAUAUUGCCCUCUUACAAUAAUGUUUCUUUUUAUAAAAUUAAUAAAAAGAAAAAAAAUUAAAUUAUCAAUUUAACCCCAAAAAUAAAAUAAAAAUAAAAAGAAUAAAUAUUAAUUUUUGUGAAAGUUUACAUGUGUCCAAAAUAAAUUUUAUUGUAAAAAUAAUUAAAUUGCCUUUUUUUUGGACAUUAGUAAUAAAAAAAUUAAUAUAUUAAUUCCUCAGCAGUGUGUUACAAAAAAGUAAAAUAUAUUAAUUUUGUUUUUAUUUUAGACAAUGAGAUAGAGAAAAGUACAAGAUAAAGGAAAGGACUUCAAAACUCACUGUUCAUCAUAAUGCCCUUUGCCUUUAAAAAAAAAUCAUUCUAAUAUUUUAUAACACAUAAAAUAUAAUCCUAAGAUAAAUAUAAUAAUACAUAUUUUAAACUAAUCUCGAUAUUUAAAAUAUGUUUUAAUAUUUUAUAAUCUAUCAGACAUAUUUUAUUAUAUUAAUGUAAAAUUUAUAAUAAAUACAAACAUAUUAUUAAAAUAAAUAUAUAAAAAAUAUUUAUUUUUUAUAUGUUUACACUGAGGACUCUCUUUAAUUCAUUUAUUUUCUCUCUCUCCAAACAGGUACUGUCUUCAGUUAGCAAUGCUAUGAUAGUAAUCCAAUUCUCUUCUCCCCCACCUGAGCGAGAUUUGAAUUUGAAUCCCUUGUUUUUCACCCACUCUGUUUUUUUUCACGCAAGAUUUGACAAUUUGAGUUAAAAAAUAUGGUCCAAAACUUGAACACGUAUCUUUUAAUUGUAAUAAAAGUUCUUUAAGCUUUGGAGAUGGCAUAUAUAUGGCUGGAAGUGUCCUUUUCUUUGACCUAGAGGCAGCACCAAGCUAUCCAGCAUCAUCAUUUUUCAAGUGGGUCUUAAAUGCCUAGAAACGUUGGUGUUUCUUGAUUUAAAGAUGACACAUGCUAUAAGUGUGAAUGGUUUGGCUAAGCCUAAAUUUAAAGUCUACUCAAGUCGCAUUCAGGAUCAUGGAAAUUGGAAAGGGAGAGAUGAUAGCAAGAUUUAUAAUAAACAAUUAACUUGGGUCCUCAGUGUACAAAGCAAAUGCCACGCAAGCGAUAGCCGGCCCAGCCCAGAAAACCCAGUGGCGAUCCCAGAGAUGGCCUCCUCUAACGAGUGCUGGGCCCAAAAAUCUUUGCGGGUUGAGCCCAGCUCCGGCAUAGCCCUUUUGAGCAGUAACAGUUGUCGAGACAAAAACCAGAAGACCCAACACUGUUCCAAUGACAAUGCAUACGGUAAACUCUGCCAAGAGCCUUGGCUUGUCUGGAGUCAAAAGCCAUCCACACAGAAGCAAAAAGGAACACAAACGAGCAAAUUAUCUCAAGCCAAAGGGCCUGCCUAGUCCCCAAGCCGAUCUCAACAGGCCCAUCUGGCCCAGGUACGACAACAUUCAGGGUGCAGCCUCCAAGUUGUCAAAUAUUUAUAUUAAACUACAAUUGCUGACUAGAAAAAUCAAGAUCGUAUUACAAGUGGGUCCCGAAUUGGACGUGCCUAAAUCUUUUUAUAAUUUUCCCAGUGUAGCGGACAGAGGUCAUUACUAAAUUUCUCUUCCACACGCCACAGCAGCUUCGGUUAAUCAAACUCAAUCAAUUUUCUUGGCUUCUCCGCUUAUCAAUAUUACAAGGUAUGGGUAGCAUUUUUCAAAUCACAUGCGAUGGUACUAUUUUCAAUCGUUGCUUAGAUUGCUUUCUUGGAAAAGCAGCAUACAUAAGUAACCUCCAAGAUAAUCUUGUUGCCUUGGAGACUGAACUAAGGAAACUAAUCGCAGCAAAGAACGAUGUGAUGACGGCGGUUGUCAAUGCUGAACGGCAACAAAUGAGAAGGCUGGACCAAGUGCAAGUGUGGGUUUCGAGGGCGGAUGCUGUUAAAAAUGAAGCUGAUGAACUUAUCAGAGGCGGCUCUCAAGAAAUUGAAAAAUUAUGUCUUAGAGGGUUCUGUUCCAGGAACUGCACGUCAAGCUACAAGUUCGGAAAACAAGUGGCUAAAAAGCUACGAGCUGUGGAGACUUUAAUCGCCGAAGGAGUUUUUGAGGCGGUGGCUGCCGAGGUGGUGCCUGAGAGAGCUCCAGAGCCUGUAGCAGAUGAAAGACCUACCGAGCGAACAGUAGUAGGCUUGCAAUCACAACUUGAACAAGUCUGGAGAUGUCUUGCAGAAGAAUCAGCGGGAAUCAUUGGCCUAUAUGGUAUGGGCGGUGUUGGUAAAACUACACUAUUGACCUAUAUCAACAAUAAAUUUCUCGAGAGUCCAACCAACUUUGAUUGUGUGAUUUGGGUAGUAGUUUCAAAAGACCUGCGACUUGAAAAACUUCAAGAAAAUAUUGGGAAAAAGAUAGGUUUGGUUGAUGAUUCAUGGAAGAGUAAAAGUGUAGAGGAGAAAGCUCUCGACAUCUUCCGGAGUUUAAGAGAGAAGAGAAUUGUAUUGCUGUUAGAUGAUAUAUGGGAGCGGGUUGAUUUAACAAAAGUGGGCGUUCCACUUCCAGGACCACAAAAUACUACCUCAAAAGUCGUAUUCACAACCCGUUUGAUCGAUGUUUGUGGUAGCAUGGAAGCUGACAGGAAGUUCAAAGUAGCAUGCUUAUCAGAAAAGGAUGCUUGGGAACUGUUUCGAAAAAAAGUUGGGGAAGAAACUCUUGGAAGUCAUCAUGAUAUCGUUGAGCUAGCCCAAACUGUGGCCAAAGAGUGUGGUGGUUUGCCACUCGCACUUAUUACUAUCGGUCGAGCUAUGGCCUACAAAAAGACAGCCGAAGAGUGGAGACACGCAGUUGAAGUUCUAAGAAGAUCAGCUUCGGAAUUUGCAGGUUUGGGAAAAGAGGUGUAUCCUCUUUUAAAGUUUAGCUAUGAUAGUUUGCAGAAUAAGACGAUUAGAUCUUGUUUCUUAUAUUGUUGUUUAUAUCCUGAAGAUUAUGGCAUUCUUAAAUGGGACUUGAUUGACUGUUGGAUUGGUGAGGGAUUCUUAGAGGAAUCUGACAGGUUUGGUGCAGAAAACCAAGGAUACUACAUUGUGGGCACUCUUGUUCAUGCGUGUUUACUAGAAGAGAUAGAAGAUGAUAAAGUAAAAAUGCAUGACGUUGUUCGUGAUAUGGCUCUAUGGAUAGCUUGUGAAAUUGAGAAGGAGAAGAGAAACUUUUUGGUUUGUGCAGGUGCGGGACUAAAGGAGGCACCUGAUGUUAAAAGAUGGGAAAAUGUGAGAAGAUUGUCAUUGAUGCAAAACCAAAUUGAAACUUUGUCAGAGGUUCCUGCAUGCCCUCAUCUCCAUACUCUAUUUCUUGCCUCUAAUAAUAGUUUGCAGAGGAUCACCGAUGGCUUCUUCCAAUUUAUGCCUUCUCUCAAAGUUUUCAAGAUGUCAAACUGCGGGAAUUUAAUUUUGGAAUUACCUUUUGGGAUGUCAAAGUUGGGUUCAUUGGAACUUCUCGAUAUUUCACAUACCUACAUACAAGAGUUACCACAAGAGUUAAAGUUGUUGGUAAAUCUGAAAUGUUUGAAUUUGAGGUGGACAAGCGAGUUAAAUAAAAUUCCACGGCAGCUAAUAUCAAAUUCUUCAAGGUUACGUGUGUUGAGAAUGUUGGGUACUGGCUGGUUCAAUUUUCAUGAAGCAUCAGAAGACAGCGUUUUAUUUGGCGGGGGUGAAGUUUUAGUACGGGAAUUGCUCGGUUUGAAAUAUUUAGAGGUAUUGGAGUUGACCUUGCGAAGUUAUCAUGCUCUCCAAAUUGUUUUGAGCUCAAAUAAGUUAAAAAGUUGUAUUCGAUCUCUUUACCUCCAGUUGACCGGAGAUAGAAAGUCGAUUAUUGAUGCUACGGCUUUCGCAGAUCUAAACCACCUCAAUGAAUGAUUGAUUUUUAAAGGUUUUGAGUUGGAAGAAUUGAAGAUUGAUUAUACAGAGAUAGUACGAAAAAGGCGGGAACCUUUUGUUUUCCGCAGCCUUCACCGUGUUACCAUAGAUUCGUGCCUUAAAUUGAAAGAUUUGACAUUCCUCGUUUUUGCUCCAAACCUCAAGUCUCUUUCGCUAUUCAAUUGCCGUGCUAUGGAAGAAAUAAUCAGCGUUGGAAAAUUUGCUGAGGUUCCUGAGAUGAUGGGACAUAUAAGCCCUUUUGAAAAUCUCCGAAGUCUUCGUUUGUCACAUUUGCCAAAUUUGAAGAGCAUCUACUGGAAGCCAUUGCCUUUCACUCAUCUGAAAGAAAUGGUGGUACAUGGGUGUGAUCAGCUUAAAAAGCUUCCACUCGAUUCCAACAGUGCAAAAGAGCGUAAAUUUGUUAUUCGUGGACAAGCAGACUGGUGGGACCGACUUCAAUGGGAGGAUGAAGCCACUCAAAUUGCUUUUAGUUCCUGUUUCCAACCUUAACUUGAUUUCUGGUUAGUGCUGUUUCCUUAACUUUUACAUAUAUUCUCGUCGUUUGCUUCGUGCAAAAUACUAGGUCUUUUGUUCUCUGUUUUUAUUUCGCCCAUUUUUUUUUUUUUUUUUUGUCUUCUGCAAAUGACAGACAAAUGUUGAACUAAAAGGAAUUAAUGCUUUAUAACUUUGCCGGCAUUGCUUUUUUCUUUUUCUUUUUUGAUUUUUUGGGGCGAGGGGGGAUCGAAUAGAUGCUCUGGUUUUUGACUUUUUGUUGUCAAAUUUUACUCUGUUUUUUUCAAAUUGAUGCUUGAAUAUUUGAAUCAAAUUAAUGCUCACGUAAAUUUGUUCAGUUGCCGUAAAAGGAUAUAAUUACACUGAAAUACACAAACUCUAGAAUGAAUAGAAUUAAACAGAGAAAAUCUUGAGUAUAUUAGCCGUCUUCACAUAAAAUCAUAUGAAAAUUAAAUUUUGAAGUUUUUAUUUUCUAUUUUUAAUCAUACCCUUUAUAAUUUCUUCUGUUCUAACUACAAUAAAAUUUUUGGUUCAAGGAUUUUUAUGAGGGGUAUUAAUAAUAGUCCACCAAAAGAGUGAACAGUUGGAUGCUGCCCUAAGGGUCUCUAAUCAAUAGCUGGAAGCAAUUGAGAAGGCGGUCGUUACUGUGUACAAAGCCAUGCAGUAUUUGCUAUUCAUCUUAGUAAUUAUGAAGCUUUGGUAAAAUUUUCAAACAAAGUUGACAUGUUAUUUUGAGAUUUGGUUCAUGAUUUUGUAUGAAUAUCGUUGUUCCAUUGAGUUGUAUAUGAAUUCAAAUGUAAAAUAUUCUUUGGUUUUCAAUUUUGAAUUCAAUUUCUUUUCUUAAGCAUGUUGUGCAGAAAUGAUUUCUACUAAAUCAUUUUUGAUAAACUACUUAAAUUAAACAACUGCAAUAAGAACUGUUAAGGAUUUAUCGUAAGCAGACUAAUAUGAUAAUUCUGAAACUAUCAUUUUUUUUUUCAAUUUGUUGCAGGGAAAGCCAAAUUUUGUAUUUUUCAGUUUUAUCUGAUAUGGAAUUUAUUUCCUCUACACUAGCUACCUAAAGAUUUAUCAAAUUGCUUCUCUUCCCUGCUUCAAAUUAAUAUCUUUAUGCAACUACAAUCUCAUAGGAAAAGACAGUUUGGGUUGUAUUUAUUAUAGUUUUUUUUUUCGUUAAGAGCAAUUUAUUUUAAAAUCGUUUAGUAGUAACAGUUUUUAUUGAAUAAUAAUGGGGUAGGAUUAUUAUAGGUUCAACUAGUUGUUAGAACAUUAUAAAAAGUCCAUUUACUAUCAAAUGCUUUAAAUUGGUGCAACAUGAUAAUUGUCCCACAUAAUUUUUAAUAAUAUAUAUGGCCCAUAAAUUUAAUAUGAAUAAAUGAGUUUCGAUAGUUAAAUUUGAUACGAUUAUUAAAUAAGUUAUAUCCAUGUCAAUUCGACUUAAAAUCUGGUAAAUUUAGAUUUAGAGUUUAUAACAUGAUAACUUGUUUUAUGACAUGAUUUACUAAUCAAUUAAUAUUAAAUUAUAUUUUAGCCAAUCAGAUAUGUGGUACAUUUGUCAAAUUUUAAAAAUUAUUUAUUUAUAUAUGAAAUAAAUUUGACUAGACUGUGUGUAGGUAAUAGUGCAUAAUUUCUAAAAAAAUGUAAUAAUAACACGUUAAAAUGUUAUUUUUAUGAAGAAAAAUUGAAAUUUUAUUAAAUAGGCGACACAAUAAUAAAUGGGUUGAGAUUAUUUACAUUUUAAGAAUUACUCUGAACAUUAUUUUAUUUUAUAAAUUUUAUAUUACAAAAACACCCAUAGUUUAAUUUACCAUUAAGAACAAUUUUGUGCGAUUAAAUAAAAUACAUUACUCUUUACCCUUUCACUACAUCGACAUAAAUCCUAAUUGUUAUGUUUCUAAUUUCUUUGAUAUGCUUAUUGAAGUCCACAUUAUAAUCAAUUUUAAACUAUUAUACCACUUAAAUACAUUUUAGAAUGAGAAGUUUGGUUUUCUUCAUGGGCUGCCUUGCUGAUGCUGUUAUUGAAACUAUCGAACUUAAUAAUUUUAUGGCCAAAAUGAUAUAUGUUGAACCAGCUUUUACAUCGAAUUCUACCACCAUAAAAAAUCGUACUUGUAACAUCUCAAGGUUCCAAUUUAUCAAAAGUUAAUCAUUCAUAUUUGUUAGUUCCUAACAGUCACAAGAGCGUACAAGCCAAUUUUUGUAGCUCCUUUUUCUGCAGUAGAUUCAAGUAUAUUAUUAUCAAGCAUUUUUGUUACACCCUUAAUUCCUUAUCAUCAUCCCUUCAUUCAGAGCAACUAAACAGAGGUCAAUGUCAUUAUGUUAGAGUUACGAGGAAGAGUACUGCCAAAAAAGUUCUUUGUAUGGGAUUUAAUUUUCUGGGUUUGUAGUGAUGAACAAAUUGAGGGUUGUUUUGGUAUUUUCAAGAGUGUAUUGAGUGAAAAUUAUUUUUAAAAAAUUUAACAAAUGAGUGUAAUGAGUAAAAAAGUGUUUAAAGUAUUUUUUAGAGUACAAAUAGCUCCACCUUAAUAAAUGAGUUCUUGUAAAAAUUGAGAUUAUUGAUAUAAUUAUUAAAUAGGUUGGAUUGAAGUUAGUUUAAUUUUGACAAGAUAAUAAGACGACGCGACACAAAUACAACCAACCAGUCAACCCAAAUUGCAACCUUUUACUAAUAAAAGAUACCUGUUUGAAAAGUAAUUAUAAGCUAUCUUCUUUGUGUUAUUUCUCUAAAAAUUUGCGGCACAAAUAUUAUUUCCAUGGAGAAAAGUACGAAAUACCCGCUUUCACUUCAGCAGAAGCAAAGCAAAGCUAUGAGCCAUCUCUGUAUAAUUGAAACGCCAUUGCUAAACGGUUCUUGAUGAUGGGUGCCACCGUGCCAGCGUUGUCGCUGAUUUGCAUGAUUUAUUAGUUGUUCAGAUGGCGGAUUUUGUACUGUCACUUUCAUUUCAUUCUUGAGAGCCACGUACAAUACUAGGUGGCAUUGAAGUUGCCCCAGUGGUUAGUUUUCUGAUUUUUUUUAAUUCAAAUUUUUAUGUUUUAGAAAAAUGUAAGAAAUAUGUAGAAAUGUUGACAGCUACAAUUUUGAAACUUUGCCUAAAAUUAUUAUCGUUGCUUAUUGUUUCUUAGCUAAAGAGAAAUCCUAGAAACAUGAAAUUAUUAUUCUAUGCUUGUUUUAAUAUUAUACAUUAGCAGGUUAAUUAAAAAUUAGACGUGAAUACAACAAGAGAUAAGUGGAGAGAAUUUGGUAGUCGACCGCAUUUAGAAUUUAAUUUUUCUUUUAGCUGCCGAUCAUUAAAUUUUAUAUUUCAGAAAAUUAUACCUAGAAUAUUUCAAGGAUAUACUACGAAGAUUAUGAAGGUUUGAUUACAUGUCACUAUCAAUUGCCUCAAUCAUUUGUAGUAAAUUAAUUAAUCAUUUUGCUGCAAAUGAUUUCCUAUUAAAAAAUUCAAGUCAGAGCUGAAUUGCACAGUAGUUAGUCGUGCUUGCAAUUCAAAUCAAGUAUUGUAUUUUCUGCCUGAUUUGGUUGAUUCAACUAUGUGCAUUUGCAUAAUGGAGAUGCUUAUGAACGUUGUAGUAUAGAAAUCGAAACGUCUUGUCUUUUGCUAAGCCCAGAAGCAAAGUUCUUUGUAUUAUACUCAUCAGUUUUCUUCGUUCUCUUCGUUGAAAUUUUAUCCAAACAGCGGUUUCUUCGAAUUUUUGCCCUCUCUUACAUUUUUAAAUCUAUCAAAGAACGGUUACCUGAGAAGAUUGCCAUCAGGUAUUUCGAAAUUGAUUUCACUACAAUACCUUAAUCUAUCAGAUUUUAAUCUAUCAGAUGCUCCCGUCACUCAGUUGCCAAAAGUGACAAAAGCCUUAGUAAAUUUUUAGAGUAAAAACUCAUUUAUUCCUUAUAUUUUAAGAUUAGUAUCUAUUUAGUCCUUAUAUUUUGAAAAAUACCUUGAAACAUCACUGCCAUUAAAGUAUUGAUACCCUUACCGUUACUUUUUAUUUAUUUUGGCUUAUUUUUACAAUAUUACCCUUUAAUAAUAAUUUUUUUGUUUAGACAUUAAUAAAAAUAAAAUAAUUAAAUUACCAAUUUAAUCCUAAAAAAUAAAAAUAAAAAUUUAUAUUAAUUUUUAAUUGUAAAAAAUUGUAUGCAAACUACCAAAUGUGCAAACGGUGCUUGCAAAAAAAUUAAUAUAAAUUUUUUAUUUUUAGGGUUAAAUUAGUAAUUUAAUUAUUUUAUUUUUAUUAAUGUCCAAAAAAUUAGUAAUUUAAUUAUUUUCUUUUUAUUAAUGUCCAAAAAUUAUUAUAAAAGGGUAAUAUUAUAAAAGUAAGCUAAAAGAAAUGAAAAGUAACGGUAGGGGUAUCAAUACUUUAACGGUAGGGAUGUUUCGAGGUAUUUUUAAAAAUAUAAAGAGUAAAUGGACACUAAUAUUAAAAUACAGGGACUAAAUAAGUUUUUAUCCUAAAUCUUUAAGUGUUUGAAUUGGAGUACAUAAAUUAUCUCUCUACAAUUCAAAAACAACAGAUUUGUUACUUUUCAACGCUACAGGUUCCGCGAAUAUUCAGUUGUGGUUAUCUUGUUGAAACACCAGAAAAUAGCGUUCUAUUUGGUGGUAAUGAAUUCUUGGUUGGGGAGUUACUUAGUUUAAAACAUUUAAAUGUAUUAAGCAUCGCCUUAAAAGGUUUUUCUACCGUCCAAAAAUUUAUGAGCUCCCAAAAGUUUCAAAGUUGUACAAAAUGUUUGGAGCUUAUAGACAGUGAUGAUUCAAAGUCGUUUGCCAUGGCAGAGUUGAAGCAUCUUGAAAAACUAGGUAUUUCAAAUUGUGGAAAUUUGGAAGAGUUUAAGUUCUGCUGUGUCGAAGUUGGAAAAACUUGAGAAGAUUUUUGUUUGAACAGCCUUCACCAAGUUAAGAGAAAGGCUUGUCAUAAAUUGAGGGAAGUGACAUGGCUUGUGUUUGUACCAAAUCUUAAGGUUAUUCAGAUAGAAAAAUGUAUGGAGAUGGAGGUUGUUGGGAAAGAGACUACCACAAGCAGCUAAAAAUUAAGCGAAUACAAAAUUCUUUCUCUCUUUGUGUGAUUAAAAUAGGAUGUGCACCACAAACAAAUAAGCAGAAAAAUAAACCAAUAAAUGCAAAGCAAAAACCAACCACAAGAGACACCGAUUUUUAAGUAGAAAAUUUAAAUUGGGAAAAAUCACAGGAUAGUAGUCUGAUAUAAACUUCUACUAUAUUAAUGAGAUUACAACACAAAUUCUUCUCCAGAUAAUACUAGAUGCUAACAAUAUUAAAAUUCUCAACAAUCUUAGUUUAUAAUAAUAGAUCUAAAAUCUAUUUCUUCAAUAAGUGAGUAUCUCAAAUAAUAGCUACUGAGAGAAUAAAAUACAGAUCAACACCAGUAGAAAUAUAGAGGGCAAUGUCAGGAACUUACCCUCCAAAUUUAGGACUAAUCAGAGCUAAAAUAACCUUUUGAUUGUUGAAUCAAAGAUUGAAAACCAAAAAAAAAAAAAAUAUCUCUUUCUCUCGCAGUGUCUUCUCACUUUCGCAAAAUGUCUACAGCUCUCGCGAUUCUUUACUUAUUUCCUUAGUUAAUUUCAUCCAAGUCCAAAAUUUUACAAUAAUUACACAUCAAGCAAAUUAUUUUGGACUUUGAACUUUUUGGUCCACUGAAGUGAAAUGGACCUUACAAAUCUCCCCCUCCAUCUCAUCUAAGGGGCACCACCAAGCCCGCUCUCUACUUACAGCUUUCCAGCUUCUCCUUGGGUAAUGACUUUAUCAUCAUAUCUGAUGCAUUCUUCGUUGUGUGAAUUUCUCCAAGCUGCAACUGUUUCUACUCAAGCACGUCUUGUAUCCAAUGAUACUUCAUAUCAAUAUGCUUCGAUUUCAAAUGAUAUGUUGAAUUCUUUGCCAAGUGGAUGACACUUUAACUGUCACAGUACACAACAUAACUAUCUUGAUUAACACCUAGUUCUUGUAGAAAAUUCUUCAUCCACAAGGUUUCUUUGUAACUUUCAGUGAUUGUAAUAUACUCUACUUCUGUAGUAGACAAAGCAACACACUACUAAAGUCUAGACUGCCAUGAAACUGCUCCUCCUACAUAGGUGAGCAAAUAUCUUGAUAGAGACUUUCUAGAAUCAACAUCUCCUGCCAUAUAUGCAUCCGUAUCUACUUGUAAUAUAGGUUUGUCACCACCAAAACAUAAACAUGCCUUGGAAGUGCCUCUGAGAUAUAUGACAAUCUACUUUACUGCUGUCCAGUGUUUUUUACCCAGAUUAGAGGAAAACCAGUUGACUACCAACUGUUGAAGCGUACCUCAAACUACCAACUGUUGAAGCAUAAAAAACUCUUUUUAUCUCUUGCUUCUCUUUCUCACUUAUGGGACAAUGCUUGAAACUAAGCUUGAAAUGACCUGCAAGUGGAAAAUAAACAUAUUUUGCUUUGUCCAUAUUAUAUCUUUUAAGAACUUUUUCAACAUAUGCUUCCUGAGAUAACCAUAAAUUCCCAGUUUUUCUGUCACGAGAAAUCUUCAUGCCAAGAAUUUGUUUCGCCGAUCCCAAGUCCUUCAUUACAAAAGACUUGCUAAGCUCUCUCUUCAAAUUGUCAAUCUUACUAGUAUCCUUGCCAACAAUCAACAUGUCAUCCACAAAAAGUAAAAGAAUAAUAAAAUCAUUAUCACUAAACUUUUUCACAAACAUACAAUGAUCACACAUUGUCUUGCAAAAGCCAUGAUUCUCCAUAAAAGAAUCAAACUUCUUAUACCACUGUCUUGGUGCAUGUUUCAGCCCAUAUAAAGUUUUUUUCAAUUUGUACACAAGUUCUUCUUUACCUUUGACACUGAACUCUUCAGGUUGUUAUAUGUAUAUUUCCUCCUUUAAGUCAUCGUGUAAGAAAGCAGUCUUUACAUUGAAUUGUUCAAUUUCCAAAUCCAAGCUAGCUACUAAUCCCAGAGGUGCUUGCUCAAUUGGUUCUGCUGGACCAUUAUUAUUAUCCUCUCCAGCUCCCCUAUGAUCAUCAUGAACAACAUGUGGAGAAACCGAAGUUGGAAUAAUAAGAAUCUCUGGAGAUGGCUGAGACUUAUCAUUUUUUUUUCAUCACCAACUAUCUAAUUUUUAAGAAACACAACAUCUCUAAUUCUGAUUACUUUUCUUGUCACUGGAUCCCAUAAUCUGUACCCAAAUUCUUCAUGUCCAUAGCUUAAGAAAAUACAUUUCUUGGCUUUAUCAUCAAGUUUUGAUCUCUCAUCUUUAGGGAUAUGAACAUACACUCUGCACUUAAACACCCUCAAGUGUUUAUAAGAAACAUCUUUCCCAAUCCAAACUCUUUUAGGUACAUCGUCAUCUAAUGGAGCUUAAGGAGAAAGAUUAAUCAAAUCAACUACAGUACGCAUAGCCUCCGCUCAGAAGGAUUUAUAAAGCUUGGCAUCAGAAAACAUACAUCUGACUAUCUUUUCAAUUGUUCUGUUCAUUAUUUCUGCAACACCACUCUGCUGAGGGGAUUUUGGUACAGUUUUCUUAAGUUUGAUUCCAUGAGAUCUGCAAUACUGCUCAAAUGGUCCUCUGUACCCACCAUCAUUUUCUGCCCUGACACAUUUCAAUUUUUUUCUUGUCCCUCUCUCAACAUAAGCACGAAAGAAUUUAAACAUAGUAAGCACGAAAGAAUUUAAACAUAUCAAGCACUUAAUCUUUAGAUUUUAAAGCAAAAGUCCAUACUUUUCUAGAACAAUCAUUAAUAAAAGUCAUAAAAUAAAGUGCACCUCCUAUUGAUCUAUUUUGCAUCAUGCAAAUAUCAAUGUGAAUCAAAUCAAGGAUUUGUGACUUUCUAGAUGGAGAAAAGCUUUUAAAAGUUACUUUAUGUGCCUUUCCAGCUAAACACUAAACACAAGUCUUGAGGGACGUACCUACAAAGCUUGGUAGAAAUCCUUUUUUGGCAAGAGUUCCUAACCCUUUCUCACCAAUGUGACCAAGCCUUUUAUGCCAUGUCUCAAUGUCAGAAUUGUUUACAGCCAUAUUCAUAUAUUCUUUCUUGAUUUUGGCUUCUAUUACGUAGAGGGUGUUCAUUUUCUUUCCUUUAGCCAACACUAGAGAGCCUUUGGUGAGCUUUCAUUUUCCUUCACCAAAUUAGUUAGUAUAACUAUCAUCAUCAAUUUUUCUUGUGGAGAUCAAAUUAAGACGAAUAUCUAGUACAUGCAAGCUUUUUUGUGGAGAUCAAAUUAAGGCGAAUAUCUAGUACAUGUCUGACAUCUUUAAGGAGUAGCUUAUAGCCAACACUGGUUUGAAGCAAAUAUCUCCUAUGCCCACAAUCUUGGAUGCCCCCUCAUUUCCCAUCCGAACAUGGUCAUAAUUACCAUUAACAUAGGAUGUGAAGUAAUCAUGAUGUGCAGUUGUUGUGCAAAUUUUAAUGUACUCGCAAGCGCACGAAUCUAUUGUAGUAUAGAUCAAUGGUGACGAGUGUCGAUCCCACGAGGAGGUGGAUUUUAAUUGUGUAUAGAAUUAAUUUUGCAAAUGGUUGAUUGGAUUUGUGGUGGAAAUGAUUUGGAAUAUGCUAAAACUUAAAUUAAAAUGGCGAGAAUAAAUUCUAAAAUUGGAAUUGAAAUUGCGAGAAUAAAGUUGAAGAGAAUUCUAUUGAAAUGACGUACUUGGGUAUCUGGAUCCGUAUCAACAUGCAUCAUGGGCUAAAUAAUGCGUAUUAAUGCCAAUUAAAUCAUGAGGGGGGAAUCCACACCUCAUGAACCACGCUCUAAUCAAUAUGGUGCUAAGGGCUUAUCGUGCCAAAUAAUAAUAACCUUGUACUAGAGAGCCGGUGUAACCAAGGCGGUACUAGACAAGAUUAGUAUUAUUUGUCGACGAGAAGUCAAAACAUCCACAAAAACUAGAGGGGAAGAGAAAAUAAAUUUACCAAAUAAAGCCCAUGACACAUGUUGAGACUUCACCUUCAACCCAAGCUUAAAAGAAAAUUAGCUACUCAUAAUUGAACUAAGGGCAAAAUGGGAAUUUAUUAAAAUACGAAGAAAAUACAAGAUAGAGAGGGAAUUACAGAAAAUGGAUCCCAAAAAUGGAUUCAGAGAUAUCAAAUUAGGGGGGGAGGCCCCCUUUUUAUAGAUACAUGGAGUAAAUCAUGGCAAUCGGAUUAAAAACAGUUUGGACGCUCAGGAUUGCGCCACGUCAUCAGUCAACAGUCCACGGUUUGACCACGCGGAUGAACAGUAAUACGGUUUGACCCAUAUGAACAGUACGCGGUUUGACCCGGAUGAACAGUAACGCGGUUUGGUUGAAAAUAAUCCUGUGUGAUGCAUGCACCGUACGCGAGAUUUUUUGUCCACUGAUAUGCUGCCACGUCACCAUCAACAGUACAUAAGAAUUUUAGUCCAACAGGAUCGUGACACCUCAUCAGUCAAUGCCACAUCAUCGAUCCGUCUAUGUGAGCAGUGCCGUGAACAGUAACAUAUACAGUACCGUAUACGUGAAUAGUACCGUACAUGUGAAUAGUGCUAUUUUUCCUUUUAUGCUCCUCCUAAGGUUUUCGACCGUCCUGAGUUCAAAAGUGAUGUCCGUUUUACCGUCUGAUCUCUCCUUUAUUGUGAAAUCACUAUAAUACCACUAAAAUACAUAAAAUACUUAAUUAAAAUAAAACACAUGUAAUUAAAUCACAAGAAGGUUAAAUACAUAAAAGUAAGGGUUGUUAGUAAGACUUGAAAUGUAAAAUGAUGGUUUUCUCCUUUAUAAAUAUGCAUUUUCUAACACUCAACAGCAGUAACCACGAUGUGCAGUAACAUCAAACGAAGCACCCGAAUCAAUCACCCAAUUACUGGUAUGGCAAGUAAGAUUUAUAGAGCUAUCAUUAUAAGCAAUGCCCAUAUCACCAUUAAUUACGGCUGUAACAUUCUCUUUGUCAUUUUUCUGACCAUCGCCUUUUUCUUUCGCAUGUUCUCUUUUCCACAAUUUACACUACCUUUUUACAUGGCCCAUUUUCUGACAAUGAAAGCACUUAGCUUCUCCUAUGGGACUUAGAUCUUCCUCCAGGGUUAUCAUUAUUCUGAUGACGGAAAUUUCUGCUUCGACUUCUCCCCCGUCUUUUUUGGUUUUCUGAAACAAGUGUAGCUGACUCAGAGGGAACUACUUCAGCAUUCUUUCUUCGAGAUUCUUCAUUCCGCAGUCUAUCUGUAACCAUAUCCAAGUUUAAUUUACCAUUCGGUGCCGAAUUAUUCACUGACACCACUAAUGUCUCCCAACUAUCAGGUAAAGAACUAAGCAACAACAAUGCUUGUAACUCGUCAUCUAGAAUAAUCUUCAUAGUAGUCAACUGAUCAACCAAACCCUGAAACUCACUAGUGUGUUCAGUAAUACUGUGGCCUUUUUUAUAUUUCAAGUUAACAAGCCUUUUCAUUAGAUUGACUUUAUUUUGUGCUGUUGGCUGCUCAUAAAUUAUUUCUAAUUUUCUCCAAAGAACAUCAGCCUUGGAUUCCUUCGCGACAUGAUGGUACACACUCUGAUCAAUCCAUGACCUAAUAGUGCCCACGGCUUUCUGGUUCAAUUGAGCCCAUUUCUUAUCAUCUAUAUCAACAAGUUUAACUUCAUCACCUUCAAUAGGUUCAUGUAAGUCUUUCAUGUAGAGCAAAUCUUUCAUUCUAGACUUCCAAAUAUCAUAAUUCCACGACUCAAUUUAAUCAUGAACGCCAAAGACUCCUCUAUUUCAACCACAUAAGUAAUAAAAACACACAACCUGGCUCUGAUACCACUCUAUUGGGAAAACGACUACCACAAACAGCUACAAAUUAAGCGAAAAUAAAAUUCUUUUCCUCUUUGUGUGAUUAAAAUAGGAUGUGCACCAUAAACAAAUAAGCAGAAAAAUUAAUCAAUAAAUUCAAAGCAAAAAUCAACCACAAGAGACACCGAUUUUAACGUGGAAAAUUCAAAUCGGGAAAAACCAUGGGACAAUAGUCCGAUAUAAAUUUCCACUAUAUUAAUGGGAUUACAGUACAAAUUCUUCUCCAGAUAACACUAGAGGUUAACAACAUCAAGAUUUUCAACAAUCUUGGCUUACAAUAAUAGAUCUAAAAUCUAUUUCUUCAAUAAGUGAGUAUCUCCAAUAACAGCUAAUGAGAGAAUAAAAUAUAGAUCAACACGAGUAGAAAUGUAAAGGGCGAUGUCAGGAACUUAUCCUCCAAAUUUGGGAGAAAUCAAAGCUAAAAUUAUUUUUCGAUCGUUGAAUCAAAGAUUGAAAACCCAAAGAAAAAAAAUAUCUUUUUCUCUCGCAACGUCUUCUCACUUGCGCGAAAUGGCUACAUCUCUCGCGAUUAUUCACUUAUUUCCUUUAUAUUUUUUUUGGUUAAUUUCAUCCAAGUCUAAAAUUUUACAAUAAUUACACAUCAAGCAAAUUAUUUUGGACUUUGGGCUUUUGGUCCACUGAAGUGAGAUGGACCCUACAGAAGCAAUAAUCAGUGCAAGAAAAUUAAGUGAAGUUCCAGAGAUGAUGGCAGAUCUAAACCCUUUUGUAAAACUCCAAUAUCUUGGCCUCCGAAUUCUACCAAAAUUAAAAAAGCGUCUAUUGGAAUGUGUUGCCCUCUCCACAUGUCAGGGAAAUUUUUGUAUCUGAAUGCCCAAUUCUCAUUAGAGGAGAGGAACACUGGUGGAAUAAGUUGCAAUGGGAGGAUGAAGCAACCUAUAAUGCUUUUCUUCCUUGUUUUGGAUCCAUUUGAUGGGCAUCAACAUGGAUUAAUAUUUUGCAGCGAACCAAUUUGAAUAAAACUUACGGUAAGUGCUUUUCCAUUUAUUGCAUAUUUAUAUCUAAUUUUUGUUUUCCUUUAUGGUUAAAUUUUGCCCUGUAUAUGUUGUUGUACGGUGACAUUCUUGAAUCAAUUAUUAAUUUUUUUAAUUCUCGUCUCACAACCACCCUUUUGAUCAUGAGGAUAUGCCGAUAUCAAAGAGUCAUAAUUUGGGAUACAAAUGUAAGAAUUAGGCAGAUGACAUGUUGUUUCAAAGCUUUCGAAGAAGGACUAAAUAUGUCAUUGAAAGCCUCCAAUUUUGCGACUGAUUUUUUUUUAAUUUGUUAUUUUUAUAGGUGGCAAAAAUACCCGUCUGAUUUGGACUCGGCUGAUUUGGGCCGGGUACGGAGUAUGAAGCCGGGUUGGUCCUGGGCAUCACUUGAAACUCGGAACCUGGAUUUUAUUAAAAAAUAUUAUAAAUAUAUAUUAUUUUAAAUAUCUAUAUUUAUUAGACUCAUCUAUUACAUAUAUCUAAUUUCAUUGAAAUAAAUUUAAAAAUUAUAAAAUUACCAAUAUAUAUAUAUAUAUAUAAUAUUAAAAAAGUAUAAAAUCUGAGUCCUCAGAUUAAAACCCAGUUCAAGUGUCUAAAAAAUACAUGUGGACCGAGUUUGAACAUUGCGAUACCCAGACCCAAACUUGGGUUUUGCCAACCCUAGUCUUUUAAAUUGCUUGAUUGUAAUGUUUUAGUAUAGAAAAAUGAUAGCCAAGACAACAAUAAGAGGGCACAUUGUGCAUGCACAAUAGUGGAUAAUUUCGGCAUUCCAAAUCCAAUUAGGGUGGAUAACCUUUUAUUAGUAUUAACCUUCUCUCGUAUUCAAGUAAUGUAAAAUAUGCUUAGAAGCUGUGGAUCCCCCUUUAUAAGUGUUGGGCUUAUGCCAAACUCGAUUGAUGUGGGAUGCCUUUAUAGGCAUCAAGUUUUCUCCCAUACACUUUAUGUUAAAAAUAAUAAUGAUAAAAUAAAUCCAUUUUAAAAUAGACUUCUUUUUCUUUUCUAUAUAAACAAACUCAUUCUUCAAAUCAGUUGUGGGUGGAAGGAGUGAGUAGAGAAGAACUGGGCCCCUUUCGUUCCUCUAAAAACCUCACCAAACCUCUCUUGUAAGCUUCUCAGUGUCCCUCUCAAUAUUUCUUAUGAUCUCGUUUUUUAUUGAAUCACUUCUUUUGUGUGCUGCAUUUUUGUGUGUCGUAUUUGGGUUUAUCUUAUCUGGAAUCCUGUUAUGAUUGAUGGAACAAGUAAUCGAUUUUUGGUUUAUUUGGAAUGGAAUUAUGGUUUAUUUGGAAUGGAAUUAUCUGGGUGUAACGGAUUAAAUUAUGACAUUGGGGAGAAGGCACUAAGGGGUUUGCUUGACACAUUUGGUUCUGUGUUUACUCUGAAAGAAAUAGCUUUUGCUUAUCGUAAUGCAAGGCGAAAUCCCGAUUUGGGUGGUGAAUUUCUCUAUCCCAAUUGGGCUGGUGAAUUUCUCUGUGACAAAUAGGCAAACAGCUCAACCUCUUUUAUCUAUCUUCUACUAGUGAGGCAAGGGAUAAAAAGUCUUCAAAAUCAUCAAAUAGUAACAUCUUCGAGAAUUCAUUUUAUGCAAAUGGAAAAUCUAGACCUUCUAAGACAAAAUGGCGUCCAGUAUCAAGAGGUACCGUUUCAAGUUUUCUUGGUAAAAAUUAUGUAAACUUGCACAGCCAGCUAAUGGCACUUUUCUAGUUUUCUGGCAUCAAAGCCAUUGAAGUCGUAUCCAAAGGAGUUUCCCAUGUCUGCACUUUGUGGAGAAGGAACUAAACAAAAACAAUCAAAGGAUGACCAUUUGCAGAAGGAUGUGGAAGAUUUUCUGUUUAAAUUGCUAGGAGAAGUGUUCCAGCUGAAUAGGGAUGUGAUUCGGGAAGUUCCAGUAAUGUCUUAAAUAUGUUGAUGCCAAUUUAAUAUAUAUUGUCAUUUUCAAUGUUCUUUCUUUCUUUCUUUAUCUUCUUUUCUUCUACUUCUUCUUCUUUUUCUUUUCGUGUGCAUGUGAUCACUAAUUUGUUAUUAUACUUAACUUGCAGGUAGUUGUGGAUAUGAUAUGCAAAAGGUAAGGACUAUAUCUUCCUGAUAGAGGCCUCUGCUUUUUCCCUUUUAUGUAAUUUAGUAAAUCUCAUCUCCCUUUGUGAUUGUUAUAUCAUAUCAAAGUCAAGUCUUAAAUACUGCUGUCAUAUGUUAAGGUUCAACUUGCAUUUUGACUAACAUCCAUUUGUUGUCGCUUCCAAAAGUGAGAAUGAGAUACUUCGGUUAAUUUCAGUAGUUGAACCCAAUCGAGUACUUUAUCUAGAUCUUCAUGGUUCAAAGGCCUGAAACUUGCCCGUGAUUGUAAAAUGAUAUUAUGUGCUUUUAAUGCAAUAGGGGGAACAAGGUGUCAAAGGAAUUAGCAGAUUCUAUGGCAGAUUCUAUGCCUGUACAACUGUAACAAUUAUCCUUAUGAUUGUAAAUCUUAUAUGUUUUCCUUAUUUAGGAUAUACUAGCUGUAGGCUAUUUUAGAUAGUUAUGUAUAUGAUAGUUUAGCUAUGUUUAGGGCUAAACAUAAGCUUGUAUUCAUAGUAUAUAAAGGGAAUUCUCUUCUAAGAGAAAGCAUAACUUUUGCUCAAAAUUCUCUGAGUUUAUCAUGGUAUCAGAGCCUCAGUUCUGAAUUCUCUUCUUCCUAGUUCAUUCCCUUGUUCUUAGUUAUUCUUUUUUUUAUCAAGUUAUCUCAGCCUCAUGUCUUCAGACAAGUAUGAUGCUUUUUUGAUCCGUUUUAAUGGCACAAACUACUCAGCCUGGGCAUUUCAUUUCGAGAUAUUUGUCAAAGGCAAAGAUCUAUGGGGACAAGUUGAUGGCAGGAAACCUGCCCCUGAUAAAGAGAUAGACCAGGAUGGGUACGCCAAGUGGGAAGUCAAGGAUGCUCAAAUCAUGGCAUGGAUUCUAGGAUCUGUGGAAUCCAACUUCAUCUUGAAUCUUCGACCCUUCAAGACUGCAGCAGGAAUGUGGAAUCAUCUAAAGAAACUCUACAGUCACACCAACACUGCUCGUUGAUUUCAGCUUGAACAUGAGCUAGCCAAUCUCCAACAAGGCAGUCUCUCUAUUUCUGAUUUUUAUUCUAUCUUUAUGAUUAUUUGGGCUGAAUAUACUGAUAUAAUCUAUGCUACCUUACCUCCGAAGGUCUUAGUUUUGUUCAAUCUGUACAUGAAACUACUAAGAGAGAUCAAUUUAUGAUAAAACUGAUAUAUGAAUUUGAAAGCACUAGGUCCAAUCUUAUGAAUUGAGAAUCUGUCCCUUCCUUGGAUACAUGCCUCAAUGACUUAUUUCAUGAGGAGCAACGACUUCUUACUCAAAAUACCAUGAAACAAAAAAAAUCUACUUCUGUUCCUAUGGCUUAUGCAGCUCAAGGCAAGCCAAAAGGUAAGGACAUCAGUAUAGUUCAAUGUUUUUGUUGCAAAGGAUUUGGACAUUACGCUUCAAAUUGUUCAAAAAAAUUAUGCAACUAUUGCAAAAAAGAUGGACAUAUCAUUAAGGAAUGCCUUACUCGACCCCCCAAGAAAUCUGAAACAACAUAUGCUACCUCAGUUGGUUCUUCUAGUGAUGGUAGUUCUGUGGAUACAGCACAUUUGACCCAAAGUGCUCCUGUUCCUGUUCAAUCUGUGACCCCAUAAAUGAUUCAACAAAUGAUCAUUAUUGUAUUCUCCUCAUUAGGACUCUCAGGUAAAUCACCCACUAGAUCUCCUUGGUACUUUGAUUCUGGGGCUUCCCAUCACAUGACAAACAAUGCUAAAUUCUUCACCAAUGUAAGUAAAUACCUUAGAAAUCUAAAAAUUCAUACAGCUGAUGGCAACUCUUUACCUAUCACAGCCACUAGUGAUGUUUCUUUUUCUAUAACCAAUGUCUUUGUCUCUCCUGGUCUUCCUACUAAUCUUGUUUCAAUCGGUCAGUUAGUUGACAAUAAUUGUAAAGUAGAAUUCUCUAAAUCUAGUUGUGUUGUGCAGGAUCAGCAGUCAGGGAAGAUGAUUGCCAGGGGGCCUAAAAUAUGACGUCUUUUCCCUCUCCAAUUUGCUAAGUCUCCAUGUUUCUCUUUGCCUAUCAUCACUUGCAAUUUUACUAAGGUUAAUUAUCGAGCAUGGCAUAAACGUCUAGGACACCUAAACUCUAAUGUAUUUUAUGCUUUGCUAAAUUCUGGUUUACUUGGGAAUAAAAGAUCACCAUCCCUUAGUGUUGUUCAAUUUGAUUGCAAUUCUUGCAAGCUUGGAAAAAGUAAAAUUCUGCCAUUUCCCACUCACACACCGAAUGUUGUCCAGCCUUUUGAUUUGAUACAUAGUGAUGUGUGGGGUAUGGCGCCUGUUACAUCUCAUGCUAAUUACAAGUACUUUGUCACUUUUAUUGAUGACUAUAGUCGCUUCACAUGGAUUUAUUUUCUACAUUCUAAAGAUGAAGUGUUCUCUGUUUUCAAGCUUUUUCAUGCAUAUAUUCAGACCCAAUUUUCUACUAAUAUCAAAAUUCUUUGCUUUGAUAAUGGGGGUGAGUAUAUGUCUCAUUUAUUUUAAGAAUUUUUGCACACCAAUGGUAUAAUUUCUCAAAGAUCUUGUCCUUCAACCCCUCAACAAAAUGGGGUGGCUGAAAGAAAGAACUAUCACCUUCUCGAUGUUGUCUUCAUUUGUACCCUCUCGUUUUUGGUGUGAAGCUUUCUCCACUGUUGUCUAUCUCAUCAACAGAUUGUCCUCUCAUUCCUUGAACCAUGUCUCCCAUUUCUUUCAGUUAUUUGGCCAUACACUAAGUUACUCUCAUCUCCAUACCUUCAGUUGUGUGUGCUAUGUUCAUCUUCCUCCAUAUGAGCGUACAAAACUCACAGCCCAAGCUGUGAAAUGUGCUUUUCUAGGAUAUUUUAUGCACUAAAAAUGUUUUCUUUGUUAUGAUCCAAAUUUGCAUCAUAUAAGGGUUUCUCGAAAUGUGAUUUUCUUUGAAAAUCAGUAUUUCUUUUCCGCAUACCACGACGAUUCUUCGCCUUCAUUUUCUGUUUUGCCAAAGUUUACUAACCCUUCUGCAGAUUCUGCACCUUCUAAACCUAUCAUAGUCUAUCAGCGACGCAAGAAUUUAGUACCUCUCGGGCCCCCUCCAGCAACUUCCCUGAAUGUUGAUCCAGUUCCAGCAACUGCACCUGAACCUUUCAGACAUAGUACUCGGGUUCGUAGACCACCAGAUAGGUAUGGUUUCACCUCUCCAUUAUUUUUGACAGCCACUUUGUCUUCUAUUCUUAUUCCUUCAUCAUAUAAACAGGCAAUAGAGCAUGAAUUUUGGUGAAAAUCUAUUGAAUCAGAACUUCUUGCACUUGAAGAAAACCAAACUUGGGAUAUUGUUUCAUGUCCUCCAUCCGUGAAACCCCUUAGUAGUAAGCUAGUGUUUUCUAUCAAGCUGCGUUUUAAUGAAUCCAUAGAUCGUUACAAGGCUCGGUUGGUGGUUCUUGGCAACAAGCAAGAAUAUGGCCUAGACUACGAUGAGACCUUCGCGCCGGUAGCCAAAAUGACCACUGUUCGAACAAUAUUAGCCCUUGCUGCAUCACAAUCAUGUUCUUUACAUUAAAUGGAUGUAAAGAACGCUUUCCUACAUAGUGAUCUCAAGGAGGAAAUUUACAUGAAACUUCCCCACGGUAUGACUACUUCCUCUCCUAAUGAUGUUUGCAAACUAAAAUGUUCGUUGUAUGGGUUGAAGCAAGCACCGCGAGUAUGGUUUGAGAAGUUUCGAUCAACUCUUUUCAGUUUUUCAUUCACUCAAAGUCAGUAUGACUCCUCCUUUUUUUUUUCCAACAGACAUCUAAGGGCAUCAUUGUUCUCCUUAUUUAUGUGGAUGACAUCGUUAUCACUGGUUCUGAUAUGGAGGCAAUUUCUAAACUUCAGAAUUUGUUGCACUCUAUUUUUCACAUGAAAGACCUCGGUCAACUCACCUAUUUUUUGGGGUUAGAGGUGCAUUAUCUGCCUCAAGGUAUCUUCUUGAAUCAACACAAGUAUAUUCAGGAUUUAAUUUAAUUAGCUGGACUUAUGGACAAAAAUUCUGUUGACACCCCAGUGGAACUUAAUGUGAAAUAUCGACAAGACGAAAGGGAACUACUUCAAGAUCCUACUUAUCUAUCUAACUAUCACCCGCCCAGACAUCUCUUAUGCUGUCCACACCGUUAGCAAGUUCAUGCAAGCCCUUCGACAUCUCCACGUAUCCACAGUCCGCCGCAUCAUUAGAUAUAUUCUUGGCACUCUUAACUGCAGUUUAUUCUUCCCUACUGGUUCUUCACUCCAACUACAAGCCUACAAUGACGCAGAUUGGGCUAGCUGCCCGGACACGAGAAAAUCUACUUUGGGAUGGUGCAUGUUUCUUGGUGAUGCCCUUAGCUCUUGGAAAUGCAAAAAGCAAGACUCAGUCUCCAAAUAAUCCACUGAGGCAGAAUACCGCGCCAUGUCUGUAGCCUGCUCCAAGAUCAUUUGGUCGCGUGGUCUCUUAACAGAGCUUGGUUUCUCACAACAUCAACCUACUCCCCUACAUGCUGACAACACAAGUGCCAUCCAAAUUGUAGCCAACCCUGUCUACCAUGAGCGCAUGAAACACAUAGAGGUUGACUGCCACUCUAUUCGAGAGGCCUAUGACCACCAAGUUAUCACCCUCCUGCAUAUCUCCACUACUCUACUGAUUACGAAUAUCUUCACCAAAUCCAUGACAUGUCAGCGACAUAACGUUCUUGUUAGCAAAUUGAUGCUUGUAGAUUUACCAGCAUCAAUUUGAGGGGGGAUGUCAAAGGAAUUAGUAGAUCUUAUGGCAAAUUCUAUGCCUGUACAGCUGUAACAAUUAUCUUUAUGGUUGUAAAUCUUAUAUUUUUUCCUUAUUUAAGAUAUACUAGCUGUAGGCUAUUUUAGAUAGUUAUGUAUAUGGUAGUUUAGCCAUGUUUAUGGCUAAACAUAAGCUCGUAUUCAUAGUAUAUAAAGGGAAUUCUCCUCCAAGAGAAAGCAUAUGAAAGAAACUUAGUUCUAUAUUGUUUGGUAGGCUAGAAAAUGAAAGAAAAUAAAAGAAAAGCUUUGCAAAGAAAACUGUUAGAUCCUUUUAUUAUACCAAACUUACAGUUUAAUGACUAAAAAUUGAUAUUUAUAUUGAGCUACAAACUCUUCACACACACACACGAGAUUGUUGCAACACAUAACCAAUUGCUGUAUAACUAACUUGACACAUCAGCUCAACCAGCUAACUAACUUUGACAGGUCAGCUUAAUGAUUUGAUCUGAUACAACCAGCUACACAGCAACAUCAUGCUCUGCUCCAGCUUCAUCUAAUUCACUAACAACUUUUGCUCAAAAUUCUCUUAGUUUAUCACAGGGAAGUAUAGCUUUGGAAAAGGCCGGAUCAAUAACUAUGGAGAGAUUUAUAAGUGAUAAAAAUUCCCGUAACCCGCUGUCAAGAAAAUUUCACAUAGUUAAAGACGCCAUUUUGUUUCAGCCAAAAAUGUUUGUUUAAUCUGCCAAAAAUGUUUGUUUCGAUUAAAGACUUGAACCGUUUUCAUUUAACCUGAUUGUGAUGCUUUAUGUUAUGUAUGUUCCUCUCAAUCAAGAAAAGUUGAGGUUCAUGAUUUUAUAUUUCUAUCUUGUAACUUGCAAUAAUAACUGGUCUUCUUGUUUUUGUAGCUUGAUAACAUGAAUUUUCCUUCUCAAGUUAAUUUGAUCAAUAAAGUAAUUCUUCAAAGAAAAUAUGCCCAUUCUAUAAUCAUUUUCUUAGCUAAUAUGUUUUUUUUUUGUUUACUCUUCAGAGUGUGUCGAAACUAAUUGAUUGCUCGGCAGAGACUUUGGGUGACAAGUCAAAAUUUCAUGGUAAAUCCUCUGAAAAGGUAUGCAUAAUUCCUGAAUAUUAAAUAACCAAUGGUCAUAGUUUUUGUACACGACUCUUUUUGUGGAGAUCGUUAAAAGUGGUUGAUGAUCCAUUUGUAAUUUCAUAGAGGGAUCAUCAAUUCCUUUUCUUUUCUGUGGCUAGGCAUCACUUUCGUGCCAAAGUAAGGAAAUCUAUUUUAGGUAAUGUAAAAAACAAUGGUAGGAUGUAAUAGCUUAUUAUGCACUGACAAUAACUUUUUGUAUAAUUGUCAGUUUAAGGAAUACAAGAGGAACUCUGUUGACAAAUUCAUCCAAGAUAGAUGCUAAAAUUAUUUAUGCAUGCCAGUUGCCUUAACUAAUUUUUCUUAACACUUGUAUUGAACAGGAAAUGAGUAUGCAAUUUGUGUACGUGCCAUUGUGGAGAAUUUGGAUAUUCUUAUUUAAGUAAGAAGAAGAGUAUUUGCCUCAUCUUUAAACAAUGAAUCUUUGAGAAAUGAGGAGUGGGUGAUUGGAAGUGUCUUCAUGUAAAUGUUCAUUUACUUGUAUUUUGAACUAUUAUGAGAAUCUUUUAUAUGCCAAAUUAGUAAUACAAAUGUUCAGAUGAUUUUUCCUGUUGAUCACGCGUUUGUGUCUGCAGACAACCAUUGUAUAUCACUUUAUUCUGAUGUGCAAUUAUGUAUAGAUUAGAAGAAAAGAAAUAAUAGUCUUAUAUUAUUGUUUGGUUCAUGAUUAUUAAACGAUUAUGGCUUCAAAAAAUCUACAAAUUCCUUCUGUUCAUAUAUGAAUGUGCCAAGUUUGCUAUAUCUUAGAUUGCCUUCUUCCAAGAUAACAAGUUCAUAUGUUUUUUAAUCCUCUUCAAUCACAGUUGAAUUUUAAGUGUUAAGAUUUGUUAUUAAUACCUGGUUCCCUGUUAUUAUGAUUUUUAUUAUGAUUUCAUAAACAGUGUACGGACAUGUGCUCUACUUUUAAAGGGCCUCCACGUGAAAGAAAAUUGCAACAAUUGAAUUCUUCCGGAGGGUAUGGCAUUUAAUUUAUUUUCUCAACUUCUUGUAAGACUAAUAUAUUUCCUUCAGUAGGCAGGGCAUGUUGGGAAGGGCUUUUAUUGAAAGAAUUCUGAUAUUUCUUAGACUUUGUUUUGGAAGGGAGGUGGAGGGAUUUCUCAUCCAUAUAUGGUUACUUGAUUAGCUUUUGACUGUAUUGCCUCAGUCGUGCAAAGGAAGAUCCAAAUACUAAUGAAUGAGAAUUGGUUAGAGACCCAAAAGACAGAAAUGAACUACAGAAGGAAGUUUUUGCUGCUUUAUUUAGUGUUCCUGAGAACUCUGAUGAAGAUGGAGUGGAGGUCCAAAGCAUUAAGAAAGGUGGUGAGUGAACCGCCAGAGGAAUUGGUACCAGAAUACAAAGCUAAUGUGGUGCAUUUGCAGCAAGAUAACCAGACUAGUAUGUGCUCUUGUAUUAACUAUAUUGACUGGAUUUGUGAGCAUGUUCAUUUUUGUGUGUAUAAUCACUUUUGUAUUUAUGCAUAUUAAUGUUAGUAGGAUUCUUGAUUUCCUCCACUUACUGGAGAACUAGUGGAAAGCUUUAUAGUGAAAUAUCUGCAAUAACUAAUGGAAACCAUGAUUUGAAUAUUUUCUCUCACCUGGAGAGCUUUGUAACAGAUGUACUUUGUGGCUAUGGAAUACUAGAGAUUCUGCAAUAACUAAUGGAAACUCUGAUAUGAAUAUUUUCUCUCACCUGCAGAACUUUGUAACAGAUACACUUUGUGGCUCUGGAAUGUCUAAAGAUUUUGUCUGCUUCAGUUAGAUCAAAUAUCUUUUAGUUACCUACAUUAUGGAAAAGAUAGAGUUCUCUGAAUCUGAAAGACUGAAACAUUUUGCAUAUUUCGUGAAAGGAAAAUAUCUGUAGAUACUAGUUCAUGCAUUGAGGUAACAUCAAUGUUAAAGAAAAACAGCAAUAACUUAUUAUAUAGAAUUAGGUUCACUUGCUUUAAAUGCUGGUCUGGUCAACCAUAUGAACCUGUAAGUGUAUCUGCAGAAAUAUAUAUGGGGGGACAAACUAGCUAAAUUUUCCUCUCAUUUCUGGCUUUGGUCAUUUUUUCCCCUUAUUUUUCAGCUUUCCUUCUCCUGAAGUAUGUUAACAAUUGCAGAUAAUGACGAAGAGGACAGCUUGCAGGCUCUUCGUGGAGCUGUGAUGGAAUAUAGGGGCACAAUGAAAGAACAUUUUAAAGCUGUAGGUUCUUUUUCUCCUGUCAUUUAUAUUUGCUCACACAUUUUUCAUAUGCUCCAAGCAUGCAAGUUUGUAUGUGUCUUUGCCUUUUAAGUUUUAAAAACCAUAAGGUAAGAAUACAGUUCCUCGUCAGGUUAUUGAUGCAUUCACUCCGGAGGAUCAUGUUCGAGCAGGAAAACUUCUAGAACAGGCAAGGUUUUCCAUCUACAGCCAUCUAUUGACAACAGAUACAUUUUCAUUCAGCAGACACUGUUAGCAUUCAAGAUGCUGGCAGAUUCACUUGAUUCUUAUUAGUUUGUUUAGUGGUAAAGCAUAUAACCUGUUUUUCAAAGCCAAGUUGUGCUAUUGAUUAUGUUAACUUUAUUGUUCACAUAAAGUGAUAUGGAGGAAAUAAUCAUUGUAGGAAAAUUAGGUGAAGAGGUGAUGUCAAAUCUUGAACCUGUUACAAAACUCCAAGUUCUUUACUUGAAGAAGCUACCAAAUUUGAACAGGGUCCACUGGAAGGCCUUGCCAUUCCCUGAUGCCUGCAGAAUUU